Molecule: long non-coding RNA, 85312 nt
Filed under: Hordeum vulgare
Lineage: Eukaryota; Viridiplantae; Streptophyta; Magnoliopsida; Poales; Poaceae
Description: long non-coding RNA (HVUL_LNC018948)
Source: RNAcentral
CCGCCAGCUCUAGCGGUACUACCGCUAGGGCCAGCGGUACUACCGCUAGGGGACCUUUUCGCAAGAGGAGAAAGAUCAGAGAGGGGAAAAGCUCCAAAGUUGCAAGAAAAAGGGGAUGGAGAAAAAUUGUGUGCGUGCCGGAUUGAUUCCACCCAAACCUUCCCAAUACGUGUCCCCUCUUAAUAGUUCGGCGUUCCUACCACUCAAAAACCACCAAAGAGAAUCGUAGAAGACACCGUGCAUCUAUUCCACGGAGGGUGCUGAAUAGUCUUGUGCCUUUGUCAUGUAUUAUCUGAAAUGCUCAAUGCACACGAUUAGUCCAUUAAGGUACUGUCAUCAAUCACCAAAAUUACUUAGGCAUAAAUAUGCCCUAACAAUCUCCCCCUUUUUUGUGGAUUGAUGACAAUACCGGAUUUGCAUAGUAGAAAGCAUGUGAUCAUAAAGAUAAUUUAAUAGAGAUAAUUGAAGAGCAGAUGACUCACAACAUAUGAUUAAAAUAGGUCUCACAAUAAAAACAAGUCUCACAUCACACCUAGUAAAGAUAGCAAAUACGAUCAAACCAAGUUCAAAGCAAACACGAUAAAGAUAAAGCAAGCAAAUCCAACUCCUAGACUCUCUCCCCCUUUGGCACCAAGACACCAAAAAGGGGCACACCUAAGACACAGGUGGUCACUCCUCAUCCUCAGACUCAUCCGUGGCAUCUGGAUCCUGCUCGUCGUGCUCCUCCUCAAUGUCCUCCUCAGAAACCUCCUCCUCAGCAUCAGACCAAUUCCACUGGUAACCUUGAGCCCUCAUCCAGUCAGUCUCUAGAGUGAUGUCGUCCUCUGAGUCACUUGAGAUUGCCACAUCAAGUGUCCUUAAGACAUGCUUGUGCCUCUGACGGUUCUCCUUCUCGGCCACAUAAGACUGAUACUGCCCCUUGGCCUGCAUACAAAAGAGAGUCUUCAUCUGAUCCUUCAGCUUCACAGCCCAAGAUGGCAUAGCAGAAGAGCGGGUAUGCGAAGCAGGUCCUCCUCCAGCAGCAGUCUUUGUGUCCGUAUCCAUGGGCUGAGAAGAAGUUGAGGGGUUGGCCCAUUUUUCCUUUACACGCAGCUUGAUAGGAUCAUGCACAAAAUAGUCAGCUUCAACAGGGAGGGGCUCUAUCAGAUAGGUAUCUUUCCACUUCUUCUGAAUAAAGGCAAACAGGUAAGGCCCGUAGAUGGGAACCUUACGGUUCAUGAUGCAAUUCUAGAGCUCAUGGAACAUCACAUCAGAUAUGUCGAGAGGCGCAGUGUCCUUAGUCCUUGCCUCCUCACACAGCAGAAGCAUCUCAGCCAGAUGUCCAUGCACCUCGUCCUUGUUGCCAAUACAAGGGAACAGGGUGUUGCGGAAGAUCCGAUGCAUGAUAUCCAGAUACGUGGGGAGCACACCUUUUUUGAUGUAAAGAUGUUGCAACCUGUCCUUGGGGGUGGAGGUAGUCGUAGCUGGAGCAUGAGGACGCAGCCCAAGAACAUUUUCUUGCCCCUGGAAGUCGACGUUGAGGAGCUGCAUGAACUCCGCCCAGGUACCAGUCAACUUCUAACUACCUGUCAUCCAGGUCAUGGUGCGCUCGUCAUCAGGUUGAAAGUGAACAGUGACAUAAAACUAGGCCACAACAUCUGGGUCGAAGUCCUUUUGAAGGUGAUGAUAUCCGUAAUGCCAAGCUUGUCAACCAAGGAGAGAGCCUCACCAAAGUAGUCCUGAUGCUGCCGAAGGUGAGAGAGGUCGAUCCACUGCACUGGGACAUAGAUCUACUUGAAGGGCACAAUGAUGUCACGGAAGAUCAUUGCCUGUUCCCGGGACCAAACAUGAUCGACGCCCCUGAGCUGAACCUUGUCAUCACCAUAGGUAUCACGGGUACAAAGUGCCACAAAAUCCUUAGGAGGCAUAGUGCGGACGUUGAUCCCUUUGUACUUGGUGGCAACCUUCUUGAAAGACUUCUUUUUAGGGUUCAGACUGGAAGUUGCGGAACCUUCUGAAGUCUCUUGAGUGCGGUACUGCUUUGAUUGGGUGUUACGUGCAGGAUUCGAGCAACGAGAACCACCUGUGACACACAAGACACACACACAAAAAGAGAGACAAAAGAAGUCAUGGCAAUGUUCAAAAAUCAUAAGAAGAAACACACAUUGCCAAGAGAAAUCAAAAAUAAAAUAAAAUGCCCUCCUCGCGGUAGUGCCGCUUGCCCUGGCGGUAGGACCGCUGGGGUCCUGGCAGUAGUACCGCUCCCCGUGGCGGUAGUACCGCUGGGGGUCCUGGUGGUAGUACUGUUGGGGGCCUGGUGGUAGUACCGCCAGGCUGUCGGUAGUACCGCUAGGGGUUGACUUUCAUAUUUGAACCAACUAAAAUUACUAGAAUCGUUUCAAGAGAUCCACGGCUAACAAAUAACCUUAUCACAAGAAUCACCAUAGCCCGAAAACAUGUGGAACUCUAGAUCAUCUAGAUGGAGACAAGCCUUGUCAAUGGGAUCCAAGUUUAGAUCAAAUCCAUGAGAUGUAUGAUAAUGGCUACUACAUCUAAAACAUGGAGAACUAGGGCAUGUCAAGAUAUUUGCAAUGAAGAACAUUAGACCUAAAAUCCCCUAAGAUUUCUCCCUCGUUCCCUCCAAAAACUAAGCACGAAGCAUAUCCAUGGAUCCAAAUCAACAAGCUCCUAACCCUAGAAACAAACACACCAACCAAGAGAAGAAGGGGAGGAGCUUUACCGGGUUCCAUGGCACUUGACGGAGGAAGGAGGAGGGUAGCAAACCCACCAACUGAAAGGAGAGGAGGGGCUCCUCAGAGAGAGAUCAAAAGGGGGGAUUCGGUGUAGAGGGAGAGAGAGCCAUGAGGAAGAAGACAGAGGGCAAGAAAAAAUGGCUCCCCCUCCCUUUAUAUAGUCCAAGGGGUACGGGCGCAUCGGUAGUACCGUUGGGGUCCUGGCGGUAGUACCGCUCCCCCUGGCGGUAGUACCGCCGUCCUGGCAGUAGUACAGCCGUCCUGGCGGUAGUAUCGCUCCCCCUUGAGACAGCCCUAAAAAUCCCUAGUCAAGCCACGAUAGGCUGGGGUCCUGGAGGUAGUACCGCUCCCCCUGGCGGUAGUACCGCUGGGGUCCUGGCGGUAGUACCGNNNNNNNNNNNNNNNNNNNNNNNNNNNNNNNNNNNNNNNNNNNNNNNNNNNNNNNNNNNNNNNNNNNNNNNNNNNNNNNNNNNNNNNNNNNNNNNNNNNNNNNNNNNNNNNNNNUGGCGGUAGUACCGCUACCCCUGGCGAUAGUACCGCUCCAAAAAGCACAACGAGACAUAGGACUUCGUGGAAAUGAUGUGGGCAAUGACUAGUCAGUGUAGACAAAAAGGUAACACCAGCAAGAUAUACUGACUAGUCAUUUUGUAUCCUUUCUUCAACAACAGAGAAAGGUGGGCGGUGGCCGGAGCCACCUAUGUUUGAGACAAAGGUAUGACACCGUGAAUAAUUAUCCUUGGGUUCAUGACCGACGCUCGUCUUUGAAGCACAAGUGCCAUUUAAUAAUGGCCAAAGUGAAAGACUUGAUCGAUUUAUGCAUAAUGGGGGUAGUNNNNNNNNNNNNNNNNNNNNNNNNNNNNNNNNNNNNNNNNNNNNNNNNNNNNNNNNNNNNNNNNNNNNNNNNNNNNNNNNNNNNNNNNNNNNNNNNNNNNNNNNNNNNNNNNNNNNNNNNNNNNNGGAAAGUUCAUUGAGAGAACAACACUCCCCCUAUGUCCAUGUCUACACCUAGAACAAGAUAUAAUGUAGAGUGAGGUGCAAAGUGCCUAGUUUCAAUCCACAUUACUUGAAUCAAUGAUAUUUAGCUCAUGCCUUAACUCCAGGAACCUUGCUUCAUCUAGGGGCUUAGUGAAAAUAUCUGCAAGUUGCUCUUCAGUGUUGAUGAAGUGAACCUCAAUAUCACCUCGCUUGAUAUGUUCACGAAUGAAGUGAUGGCGAAUAUCAAUGUGCUUAGUCUUGCUAUGUUGCACCGGAUUGAGGGAAAUCUUGAUAGCACUUUGAUUGUCACAUAGAAGAGGCACUUUGUCACAAGUGACACCGUAAUCCUUUAAAGUUUGCCUCAUCCAUAGCAACUGUGCACAACAACUUGCAGCUUCCACAUACUCAGCUCAGGAACCCAAAUAGCCCAUUUAUUGGACUCAUAGUAAGAACCAACAAAUCUGGCAUUAACAUGCCCAUCACCAGCACGACAUACAACAUAGGAUCGAUUGAGUUCGCCAGCUGUGUUGGUAGGAAUGGUUUUGCCCUUCUCGACGCUACCAUUCUCCACCUUGUUCCUAUUCUCCUCCUGAGUCCCUUCGCCCUCUUUGACAAAGAUGUCCAUGAGGGAGGGGAUCGUUUGUUCCUGUUCUUCCUUUUUCUUUUCGACUUGUAUGUAAGUCCAAGUCCCUCGUUUCCUACAACACCCUUUUGAUUGCUCAAGAAGUCAUUCAGGUUCUUCUCGCCUUGGAUGCAUGACACAAGGCCCUUCUCAAGUUGAUCCUUCAACUUGGCAUUUUUCUCCACAAGAUGUGCAUGCUCACAACAAGGGUUAGUUGUACAAGCAUUAUCAAUUAUAAGGAAAGGAGGACAAGUAGAUAUAUCCUUGGUAAGCUUUGCUUGGAGUUGAUCAUGAGACUCUUUCAGGGAGAAAUGAGCACCUUUCAAGACCCUGUGAGCCUUGUCAAGUGUGUCAAACUCCACUUUGAGUCUGUCAUGGCCAACCCCAAGGGUAGCCUUUUCAGACUUAAGCACACGAGUAAGAACAAUAGCAUGAUCUAGUUCCUUUUGCAAUUUAGCGCAGUCAUCGUUGUAUGACUCCUCAAGAGCCAAACGAAGAGUGCGCUCCUUUUCUAGUGCAAUACAUAAUUCAGCAAUCUCAUUGGCAUAGUCACGACUAUGUCCUUGCAGCUCGGAGAUGGUCUCCUCAUGAGACUCGAUGAGGUCAUUAGCCUCACCCAGUUGUUCCAAAAGAGCAACAAAGUGCUUCUUGGGUUCUCCUUUGAUCGUACACAGAAAUUUGUCAAGAUCAUGCUCCUUAAGUUCCACAACAUCACUAUCAUCAACACAAUUCAACAAUGAAGGAGCAGUAGUGAUGUUGGUCUCAAUGUUGGGUGUUACCUGAUCAAUACCUUUGGCCAUGACACACUUGGCGAUGUGGUUAUCGUUGGGGGCGUUGAAGAGAGACACAUUCUUGGGAGAAGGGGUGGCAAUGGCGACAGUCGCAGUUGCCACCAUAUCGUCAUCGUCAUCAUCAUCGGAGGGGUACUCUUCAAGUGCCACCAUACCCUUUGGGUGGGGUUUCUUGACAAAGUUGUUCUUGUUUGGGAAUGACUUGGUUUUGUCUUUGCGAUUGAGCUUACCCCCGUUGUCUUCCCUCUUCUCAUAGGGACAUUCUGCCACGAAGUGACUCACAUUACCGCAGUUAUAGCAUGUCCGCACACUUGCUUGGAUUUGAACCCACUUGAGUUGUUCUUGGAGAAGUUGGGUCUUGAGUUCCUCUUGUUGCCCCAGAAUUGCCUUGACGCAAGAGCCAUGUGCUCGUGAUAAGAAUACUUAGUGUCUUCAGGGCAGCUUUCCUCUUCCUCAUCCUCUUCUUCUUCUUUAGAAGCAGCCUUUGCCUUUAAAGCAAGGUUGUGUGAAGCUGUCUUUGACUGAACGCGAGAAAGUGCAUUGUCAGCGGUCUCGUUCAUGAUUGACAUUGCAAUGAAUUCAUCCAACACCUCACUGGAAGACAAGGAGUGGAAAUCUGAUCGUUGGUGAAUGACUGAUGACAUGGCUUUGUUGAAUGGCAUGAUGGCCUUGAGAAACUUGCGCUUGAUCCAUGUGUCAUCCACAUCCUUGCUCCCAAGAUCCUUGGGAGCAACAACAAUAGCAGUCACCCUUCGAUAGAGAUCACGAGGGUCCUCAUCUUCCUUCAUCACAAACUCAUCGGACUUAUCAAGCACCACUUCGUAGUUGGACCGUUGAAUGCUUGAGCUUCCCUUGUACAACACCAUAAUGUGCUCCCAACAGUCCUUAGCCAGAGUGAAGGGGCGCAAGUGAGGAAGAUCUUCAGGAGGUACUGCGGACUGGAGAAUAAACAAUGCGGAGUGAUUAUAUUGAUUGUCCACUUCUUCUCUUGGAGUGAGGUUGCAUGGGUCAUCAGAAUAGUAGCCUUGCUCGAUGAUUCUCCAUAAAUUUUUUGACUUGUGAUUCAAAUGAGACUUAAUAGAAAACACCCGGUUAGCAAAAUCACCCUUAAUAAGCUUAGGAGGAGGACCAACAGGGUUAGGCGUGGUGUAGGAACCGGUCCUCCAUAAACCAUGGGAGGUGGAACUGAGACAUAGGUUCCAGUCCCAUUAUUUUCGAGAGGCAAAAAAGGUCGCAUACCUUUAGCCGCUUCCCUAGGGGAAUUGGCCUCCGAAUCAGUGUUGGCGGGUUUAACCACCAACGCCGGUCCGGGAGAACUUUUAAUUCCCUCAAUUAACUCUUUAAGCAUGGUCUUGACUUCGUUCGUCAAGGACGUCUUGAGGUGGGCCAUAGCCGCAUUCAAGUCGUCCCUUGUGACAUAAGUCAAGCCCAUGGCCUCGGGUUGCCCAUGGGGUCCUCCCUCAUCAUCCUCCAUACUCUUCGGGUGGUGAAACCCUUAAUAAAGAGACAUGGCUCUGAUACCAAUUGAAAGGAUCGAUAUGGUUGACUAGAGGGGGGUGAAUAGGCAACGACCACUUUUUAAUAAUUCUUAACAAGUUAAGGUUAGCAACAUAAAGGUUCUCUAAAAUGACAACUUGGUGAAGAACAUAUAUGAUGCCACUAACUAUAAUCGCUUAGGCAAGUAAGAAAUAGUCUACAACAAUAACAUACACAAUGUAAAGAUUAGAGAUAACCGCAAGUGGAACCAAUGAAGACGAGGAUGUGUUACUGAAGUUCCUUCCCUUUGAAAGGAAGUAUGUCUCUGUUGGAGCGGUGUGGAGGCACAAUGCUCCCCAAUAAGACACUAGGGCCAAUGUAUUCUCCUCAUGCCCUCACACAAUGCAAGGUGUCGUGAUUCCACUAUAGGUGCUCUUGAAGGCGGCGACCGAACCUUUAGAAACAAAGUUGGGGCAAACUCCACACAAAGCUUGGAGGCUCCCAACAACACAACGGAGCUUCACCACAAUGGAAUGUGGCUCCGAGGUGACCUCAACCGUCUAGGGUGCUCAAACACCCAAGAGUAACAAGAUCGUCAAGGGAUUAGUGGGGGAAUCAAUUUUCUCUUGGUGGAAGUGUAGAUCUAGGCCUUCCCAACCAAUCCGUAGGAAAUCAACAAGUUUGAUUGGCUAGGGAGAGAGAUCGGGCACUUUUGAGCUUAGGGAGCAACAAUGGAGCUUUGGAGAGUCAAAGGUAGGAUUCUUGAGCAAGAAGAACCCUUUAUAUAGAGGGGGAAAAUCCAACGAUUUUCCCACUCACAACACGAGCCCAGCGGUACUACCGCUGGCUGCAGCGGUACUACCGCUGGCUCUCCAGCGGUACUACCAUUGAUUGCAGCGGUACUACCGCUGACCCUCCCGCGGUACUACCGCUGGCUGCAGCGUUACUACAGCUGAGACCAUGGUAGCACAAAGAUACUACCGGGCCAACCACUGCCAAGAAAGUCUUCGCAAAAAGUCUGACAUAGUAAAGCCGCAAGGAUGACGGUAUUAAAGUCCUGGAGCGGUACUGAUACGUCCAUUUUGCAUCAUGCUUUCAUGUUGAUAUUUAUUGCUUUUUGGGCUGAUAUAUUACUUGUGGUACCAUAUUUAUGCCUUUUCUCUCUUAUUUUGAAAGGUUUAUUUGAAGAGGGAGAAUUCAGGCAACUGGAAUUCUGGACUGGAAAAGGAGCAAAUCCUAGUCCACUAUUCAGCACAUCUCCAAAUGCCCUGAAUAGUUACGUGGAUUUUUUCUGGAUUAUAUAAAAAUACUGGGCAAAAUAACUACAGGAGGGGGGCCAACAGGCUCCACAAGCCCCCACUCCGCCACCACCCCCUGGUGGCGCAAGGCAAGCUUGUGGGCUGCCUGGCAGCCCACUAGCUCCCCCCUUUUGCUAUAUGAAGGGUUUUGGUCCAUAAAAAAUCAGAAGGGAGCUUUUUCGUGGUUUCGCCGCCGCCACGAGGCGGAACUUGAGCAGAUCCAAUCUAGAGCUCCGGCAGGACGAUCCUGCCGGGAAACUUCCCUCCCGGAGGGGGAAAUCAUCGCCAUCGUCAUCACCAACACUCCUCUCGUCGGAGGGGAGGCAUCUUCAUCAACAUCUUCAUCAGCACCAUCUCCUCUCCAAUCCCUAGUUCAUCUCUUGUAAUCAAUCUGUGUCUCACGACUCCGAUUGGUACUUGUAAGGUUGCUAGUAGUGUUGAUUACUCUUUGUAGUUGAUGCUAGGUUGAUUACUUGGUGGAAGAUUUUAUGUUCAGAUCCUUGAUGCUAUUCAUUACACCUCUGAUCAUGAUUAUGAUUAUGCUUUGUGAGUAGUUACUUUUUUUCCUGAGGACAUGGGAUAAGUCAUGCUGAUAAUAGUCAUGUGAAUUUGAUAUUCGUUCGGUAUUUUGAUAUGUUGUAUGUUGUUUUUCCUCUAGUGGUGUUAUGUGAAUCUAGACUACAUAACACUUCACCAUAUUUGGGCCUAGAGGAAGGCAUUGGGAAGUAGUAAGUAGAUGAUGGGCUGCUAGAGUGUCAGAAGCUUAAACCCCAGUCUAUGCGUUGCUUCGUGAGGGGCUGAUUUGGAUCCACUAGUUUAAUGCUAUGGUUAGACUUUGUCUUAAUUCUUCUUUUGUAGUUGCGGAUGCUUGCGAGAGAGGUUAAUCAUAAGUGGUAUGCUUGUCCAAGUAAGGGCAGUACCCAAGCGCCGGUCCACCCACAUAUCAAACUAUCAAAGUAACGAACGCGAAUCAUAUGAACAUGAUGAAACUAGCAUGACAGAAAUUCCCGUGUGUCCUCGGGAGCGUUUUUCCUCCUAUAAGACUUUGUUCAGGCUUGUCCCUUGCUACAAAAGGGAUUGGGCCACUUGCUGCACCGUUUCUACUACUUGUUACUUGUUACUCUUUGCCUGCUACGUUUCACCUCGCUACACAAUCACUUGUUACCGCUACUUUCAGUGCUUGCAGCUAUUACCUUGCUGAAAUCUAUUUAUCAGAGCCUUCUGCUCCUCGUUGGCUUCGACAGUCUUACUUAUCGAAAGGGACUACGAUUGAUCCCCUAUACUUGUGGGUCAUCAAGACUCUUUUCUAGCGCCGUUGCCGGGGAGUGAAGCGCCUUUGGUAAGUGGAAAUUGGUAAGGAAACAUUUUUAUACUGUGCUGAAAUUUAUUGUGACUUGUCACUAUGGAAACUGUUACUUUGAGGAGUUUGUUCGGGGUAUAUUCACCACGAAUGGAAGCACGAGGAGUUUCUCCUCAACCUGAGGUACCUACUGAAAAUAUCUUCAAUGAAAUUCCUUCGGGUAUGCUUGAGAAACUGCUGGCUAAUCCUUUCACAGGAGAUGGAUCUUCACAUCCUGACUUGCAUCUAAUCUAUGUAGAUGAAGUUUGUGGUUUAUUUAAGCUUGCAGGUUUGCCCGAGGAUGAGGUAAAGAAGAAAGUCUUUCCUUUAUCUUUGAAGGAUAAGGCGUUGACAUGGUAUAGGCUAUGUGAUGAUACUGGAUCAUGGGGCUACAAUCGGUUGAAAUUGGAAUUUCAUCAAAAGUUCUAUCCUAUGCAUUUAGUACAUCGUGAUUGGAACUUUAUUUAUAACUUUUGGCCUCGUGAUAGGGAAAGCAUAGCUCAAGCUUGGGGGACGCUUAAAUCAAUGCUAUAUUCAUGCCCCAAUCAUGAGCUCUCGAGAGAAAUCAUCACUCAAAACUUUUAUGCUCGGCUUUCUCAUGAAGAUCGGACCAUGCUUGACACUUCUUGUGCCGGUUAUUUUAUGAAGAAGGAUAUUGAUCACAAGUGGAAUUUAUUGGAGAGAAUCAAACGCAACACUAAAGACUGGGAGCUGGAGGAAGGUAAGGAGUCAGGUAUGAAUUUCCAGUUUGAUUGCGUUAAAUCUUUUGUUGAGACAUACACUUCUAGAGAUUUUAGCGCUAAGUAUGGACUUGACUCUGAGAUAGUAGCUGCUCUAUGUGAAUCUUUUUCUGCUCAUGUUGAUCUUCCCAAAGAGAAGUGGUUUAAAUAUCAACCUCCUGUAGAAAGCAACAUAGCCAAAACCAAUCUAGUUGAGGAGAAAAUCAUAGCUUUUAGUGAUCCUGUUGUUCCUUGUGCUUACAGUGAGAAACCACCAUACCCUGCUAGGAUAAAGGAUUAUUCUAAAGCUCCAACUAUGAUACGUAGGGGUUACAUUAGACCACUUGCACCCCCUGAAGAGAUUAGAGUUGAACCUAGUGUUGCUAUUAUCAAAGAUCUCUUAGCCGAAGACAUAGAGGGGCAUGUUAUCAAAUUCUGUGAGGACUCCGCUAGAAUUGCUAAACCUCACGCGAAAGACAAACACGGACCCGUAGUUGCCCUGCCCGUUGUUUCUGUUAAGAUAGGAGAUCACUGUUACCAUGGUUUAUGUGAUAUGGGAGCUAGUGUUAGUGCAAUACCCCGUUCUCUAUAUGAUGAAAUCAAAGAUGAGAUUGCACAUGUUGAGUUAGAAACCAUUGAUGUCACUAUUACGCUAGCUAAUAGAGACACUAUCUGCCCUCUGGGAAUUGUGAGAGACGUAGAAGUCCUGUGUGGUAAGACGAAGUAUCCUACUGAUUUCCUCGUCCUUGGUACUGCACAAGAUAGCUUUUGUCCCAUCAUAAUUUGGUAGACCCUUUCUCAACACUGUCAAUGCUCACAUUGAUUGCAUUAAGCAGACCGUCACAGUAAGUUUCGAGGGUGUGUCUCAUGAAUUUAACUUCCCCAAGUUUGGAAGACAAACCCAUGAAAGAGAGUCGUCUGGUAGAGAUGAAAUCAUUGCUCUUGCCUCUAUUGUCGUACCUCCUACGGAUCCUUUAGAGCAAUAUCUGCUAGAGCAUGAAAAUGAUAUGCAUAUGGAGGAGAGAGAUGAGAUAGAUAAAACUGUCUUAGAACAAUAUCAUAUUCUCAAGAAUAAUCUGCCUGUUGAACUGCUUGGGGAUCCUCCCCCACCAAAGGGUGAUCCUGUGUUCGAGCUUAAACAGUUGCCUGAUACUCUUAAGUAUGCCUAUCUUGAUGAGAAGGAGAUAUAUCAUGUCAUUAUUAGUGCUCUCCUCUCAGAGCAUGGAGAGAAGAAGUUACUAAAAACUCUGAGGAAGCACCGCGCUGCUAUUGGAUAUACUCUUGAUGAUCUUAAGGGUAUUAGUCCUACUCUAUGUCAGCACAAGAUUAAAAUCGAUCCUGACUUUAAACCAGUUGCUGAUCUUCAAAGGAGAUUAAAUCCUAAGAUGAAAGAGGUCGUUAGAAAAGAAAUAUUAAAGCUUUUGGAAGCAGGAGUCAUUUAUCCUGUUGCUCAUGGUGAUUGGGUAAGUCCAGUACAUUGCGUACAUAAGAAGGGAGGUAUCACCAUCGUUCCUACUGAUAAGGAUGAACUAAUCCCACAAAGGAUUAUUACCGGCUAUAGAAUGGUGAUAGACUUUCGGAAACUGAACAAGGCAACCAAGAAAGAUCAUUAUCCUUUGUCGUUCAUCGACCAAAUGCUAGAAAGGCUAUCAAAACACACACACUUCUGCUUUCUAGACGGUUAUUCAGGUUUCUCGCAGAUACCUGUUGCACAAUCUGAUCAAGAGAAAACCACUUUCACCUGCCCUUUCGGUACCUUUGCCUAUAGACGUAUGCCUUUUGGCUUAUGUAGCACACCUGCCACCUUCCAAAGAUGUAUGAUGGCUAUAUUCUCUGACUUUUGUGAAAAGAUCGUCAAGGUUUUCAUGGAUGACUUCUCCGUUUACGGGUCUUCAUUUGAUAAUUGCCUCAGCAACCUUGAUCGAGUCUUACAGAGAUGUGAAGAAACCAACCUCGUCUUGAAUUGGGAGAAGUGCCACUUUAUGGUUAAUGAAGGUAUCGUCUUAGGACACAAAAUCUCUGAAAGAGGCAUUGAAGUUGAUAAGGCUAAGGUUGAUACAAUUGAGAAAAUGCAUUGCCCCACAGAUAUCAGAGGUAUACGAAGUUUCCUAGCUCAUGCUGGUUUCUAUAGAAGGUUCAUUAAAGACUUCUCUAAGAUUUCUAGGCCUCUUACCAACCUCUUGCAGAAGGAUGUUCCUUUUUUUUAUGAGGAUUGUGAGGAAGCCUUUGAAAUACUUAAGAAGGCUUUGAUAACCGCACCUAUUGUUCAACCACCUGACUGGAACUUGCCCUUUGAAAUCAUGUGUGACGCUAGUGAUUACGCUGUUGGUGCUGUUCUAGGACAAAGAGUUGACAAGAAGUUGAAUGGCAUUCACUACGCUAGUAAAAUUCUAGACAAUGUUCAAAGAAACUAUGCCACUACGGAAAAGGAAUUUUUAGCACUCGUGUUUGCAUGUGAAAAGUUCAGAUCUUACAUAGUUGACUCCAAAGUCACUAUUCACUCUGAUCAUGGUGCUAUUAAGUACCUCAUGGAGAAGAAGGACGCUAAGCCUAGGCUGAUCAGAUGGGUUCUCCUGCUACAGGAAUUUGAUUUGCACGUCGUUGACCGAAAGGGUGCUGAUAACCCUGUAGCAGAUAACUUGUCUAGGCUAGAAAAUGUCCUUGAUGACGCACUACCUAUUGAUGACAACUUUCCUGAUGAGCAAUUAAGUGUCAUCCGCACUUCACUUAGUGCACCGUGGUAUGCCGAUUAUGCAAACUAUAUCGUAGCCAAAUACAUACCACCCAGUUUCACCUAUCAACAAAAGAAGAAAUUCUUCUUUGAUUUGAGACACUACUUUUGGGAUGAUCCUCACCUUUAUAAGGAAGGAGUAGAUGGUGUUAUUAGACGUUGUGUGCCUGAACAUGAACAGGGAUAGAUCCUGCAGAAGUGUCAUUCCGAAGCCUAUGGAGGACACCACGCGGGAGAUAGAACUGCCCAUAAGGUAUUGCAAUCAGGUUUCUAUUGGCCCACUCUCUUCAAGGAUGCCCGUAAGUUUGUCUUGUCUUGUGACGAAUGCCAAAGGAUAGGGAACAUCAGUAAGCGUCAAGAGAUGCCUAUGAACUAUUCACUUGUCAUUGAACCAUUUGAUGUCUGGGGCUUUGAUUAUAUGGGAACCUUCCCGAGUUCCAAUGGGUACACUCACAUCUUAGUUGAUGUGGACUACGUUACUAAGUGGGUAGAAGCUAUCCCCACUAAAAAUGCUGAUCACCACACCUCUAUUAAGAUGCUUAAAGAAGUCAUAUUCCCAAGAUUUGGAGUCCCUAGAUACUUGAUGACUGAUGGCGGUUCACACUUCAUUCAUGGUGUUUUCCGCAAGAUGCUAGCUAAGUAUGAUGUCAACCAUAGAGUUGCAUCUCCUUAUCAUCCUCAGUCUAGUGGUCAAGUUGAGUUGAGUAACACGGAGAUCAAGUUGAUCUUACAAAAGACCGUCAAUAGAUCUCGAAAGAACUGGUCUAGCAAACUGACGAUGCACUAUGGGCUUAUAGGACUGCUUAUAAGAAUCCCAUGGGCAUGUCACCGUAUAAAAUGGUUUACGGUAAGGCCUGUCAUUUACGUCUUGAGCUGGAACGCAAAGCUUAUUGGGCAAUCAAAGAGCUCAACUUUGAUUUCAAACUUGCCGGUGAGAAGCGGUUGUUUGAUAUCAGCUCGUUAGAUGAAUGGAGAGCCCAGGCAUAUGAGAAUGCCAAGUUGUUCAAGGAAAAGGUUAAGAGAUGGCACGACAAAUGAAUACAGAAACGAGAGUUCAAUGUAGGUGAUUAUGUCUUGCUAUACAAUUCUCGUUUGAGAUUCUUUGCAGGCAAGCUUCUCUCUAAAUGGGAAGGUCCCUAUAUUGUCGAGGAAGUAUAUCGUUCCGGUGCCAUCAAAAUCAAUAACACGGAAGGAAAUUUUCCUAGAGUGGUAAAUGGGCAAAGAAUCAAGCAUUACAUCUCUAGUACUCCCAUAAAUGUUGAGACCAAUAUCAUCAAUGUCAUAACUCUAGAGGAGUACAUAAGGGAUGUUUAUCAGCCUGUUUCAGACCUUGAAAACGAAGAUGUAUCUGUUUCGGUAAGAAAUUCGACCCCGAUACUUUUCCAAUAGGAAAUUUCUUCCGUUUUGGAAUUUUUGGAAAAUUAGAAAAAUAAAAAGCAGUCCGGAGAGCGAACGAGGCAGCCACAAGCCCUGCCACCGCCCCCUACCCCCUGGUGGCGGAGGGCAAGCUGUGGGCACCUCGUGUGCCUCCCGGACUCCGUUUUCUUGCGGAGGACUCCUUCUAGCCCAGAAAAAAAUCAAUAUAUAGUUGCCCAAAGGUUUUGAUCUCCGUAUCGCGCAGUUUUCCUCUGUUUUUGUUUCGAGCUUGUUCUGUCGCAGAUCUAGGUCAAGAUGUCUUCUCAAGAUUCAGAGGGAGAGAGCUAUGUGGCUGACUACCUUGCUAACCCCAAGGUCUAUGGGGACUUGGAACCAUAUGGCUGGACCACUGAUGAGGAAGAGGACUAUGAGCCCAAAGGGAAGGAGCAAACGAGUUCCCAUGAACAGGAGGCUCCUCUACCUCAACCUGCAAACAUCCAUGUGGAGUUCAAGAAGUCAAGCCUCCCUGACCAUAGGAAGAAGCCUAAGACCUUGUUUAUCCCUUCUCGUUUCUUGUAGGAGAGUAAGCAGGAGCUUUGCCAUAGAGUUUUGAAACUUGAGGAGGAAAAUGACGAUCUAAGGGAGCAUAACUUUUUGCUCAAGUGGAAAUUAGACAAGCUCAAGACUGCUCCAACAAUACCACCAUCACCACCAAAGGAAGACAACUAAGAAUUGGUAUGGGCAAUCCCCUUGGCUUCUUCCAAGCUUGGGGGAGUUGCCCUGGUAUCAUAUCACCUUUGUAUCUUUUGCUUUUACCUUUGUUUUAGUUCUUUCCUUUUCAGUUUUUAUUUCUUCUUUUAGAGGAAUAAGUCUUUAGUUUUUAGUUUGAGUCUUUUGCUUUUGUCUCUCCCCCGAUGUAUUCGAGCUUACGAGCUAUAUAAUAAAGAAUGUCUUAGUCAAGGGCUUUGCUUUGUGCCAUGAUCAAUAGUAUGAAAAGAACGAUGGCAUGAAAGAUCAUGAGAAGAUCUUAUGGAAAGUGAUAACUUCACAUAUGACACGUAUGAUGAUUGAAACUUGUUGAGAAUAGAUCAACAUAGACCUCAGUCAUUGUUGCAAUUAAUAAGAAGUAAUAAGGAAAGAGAGGUUCACAUAUAAAUAUAUCAUCUUAGACACUUUUUGCAAUUGUGAGCACUCACCAAACUAUUACAUGCUUAGGAGUAGAUGUUGGACAAGGAAGACAACAUAAUGAAUUGUGUUUGCUUGGUUCCAACCAAUGUUAUAUGAUUAGAGAUCCCUUAGCAUGUGAUGAUUGCUUCCACCUCAUAUUAGCCAAAACUCCCGCACCAAGAAGAGAUACUACUUGUGCAUCCAUAAACCUCCAACCAGUUUUGCCAUGAGAGCCCACCAUACCUACCUAUGGAUUGAAUAAGAUCCUUCAAGUAAGUUGUCAUCGGUGCAAGCAAUAAAAAUUGCUCUCUAAUAUGUAUGAUCUAUUAGUGUGUGGAAAAUAAGCUUUGUACGAACCUGUGAUGAGGAAGACAUAAAAGCAACAGACUGCAUAAUAAAGUUCUUUAUCACACGAGGCAAUAUAAAGUGACGUUCCUCCGCACUAAGAGGACAUGCAAUCAAACCUCAAAAGCGCAUGACAACCUCUGCUUCCCUCUGCGAAGGGCCUAUCUUGUACCUUUACUUUUUGCCCUUGAAAGAGUCAUGGUGAUCUUCACCAAUUCCCUUUUUGCCUUUGUCUUGGCUACCAUCACAUGCUUGGGAAAGAUCUAUAUUCAUAUAUCAACUUGGAGUUGAGUACUCAUGCUUUAUUGUUGUUGACUUUACCCGUGAGGUAAAUGGUUGGGAGGCAAAACUAUAAGCCCCUAUCUUCCUCUGUGUCCAGCUGAAACUUUGACACCAUGAGUACCACGUGAGUUGUAACAAUUGUGGAAAACAAAAGAGAUGAUUGAGUAUGUGGGUUUGCCUUACAAGCUCUUAUUUGACUCUUUCUGAUGGUGUGUUAAAUCGCAAUUGCUUCAAUGACAAUGGACUACUGUUGGUUACUUCUCGGUAAGGUUUUGCUUCAUGCUUUGCUUUGUGAAGGAAUUGUUACUUUCCCAUAAGAAUCUUUAUGAUAUAUUGUUGUCCUAUGUGUGAUCAUGAUGCCCUCAUGUCCGUAUUAUGUUUUAUCGACACCUUCGUCCCUCAACAUGUGGACAUGUUUAUGGAACUUGGUUUUCUCUUGAGGACAAGCGAGGUCUAAGCUUGGGGAUACGUCCAUUUUGAAUCAUGCUUUCAUGUUGAUAUUUAUUGCUUUUUGGGCUGAUAUAUUACUUGUGGUACCAUAUUUAUGCCUUUUCUCUCUUAUUUUGCACGGUUUAUUUGAAGAGGGAGAAUUCACGCAGCUGGAAUCCUAGUCCACUAUUCUGCACAUCUCCAAAUGCCCUGAAAAGUUACGUGGAUUUUUUCUGGAUUAUAUAAAAAAUAUUGGGCGAAAGAACUACCGGAGGGGGGCCACCAGGGCUCCACAAGCCCCCUCUCCGCCACCACCACCCCUCGUGGCGCAGGGCAAGCUUGUGGGCUGCCUGGCGGCCCACUAGCUCCCCUUUUGCUAUAUGAAGGGUUUUGGUCCAGAAAAAAUCAGAAGGGAGCUUUUUCAUGGUUUCGCCGCCGCCACGAGGUGGAACUUGGGUAGAUCCAAUCUAGAGCUCCGGCAGGACGAUCCUGCCGGGGAAACUUCUCUCCCGGAGGGGGAAAUCGUCGCCAUCGUCAUCACCAACAAUCCUCCCAUCAACAUCUUCAUCAGCACCAUCUCCUCUCCAAUCCCUAGUUCAUCUCUUGUAAUCAAUCUCCAUCUCACGACUCCGAUUGGUACUUGUAAGGUUGCUAGUAGUGUUUAUUACUCUUUGUAGUUGAUGCUAGUUGGAUUACUUGGUGGAAGAGUUUAUGUUCAGAUCCUUGAUGCUAUUCAUUACACCUCUAAUCAUGAUUAUGAUUAUGCUUUGUGAGUAGUUACUUUUGUUCCUGAGGACAUGGGAUAAGUCAUGCUGAUAAUAGUCAUGUGAAUUUGAUAUUCGUUCGGUAUUUUGAUAUGUUGUAUGUUGUUUUUCCUCUAGUGGUGUUAUGUGAACGUCGACUACAUAACACUUCACCAUAUUUGGGCCUAGAGGAAGGCAUUGGGAAGUAGUAAGUAGAUGAUGGGUUGCUAGAGUGACAGAAGCUUAAACCCCAGCCUAUGUGUUGCUUCGUGAGGGGCUGAUUUGGAUCCACUAGUUUAAUGCUAUUGUUAGACUUUGUCUUAAUUCUUCUUUUGUAGUUGCGGAUGCUUGCGAGAGAGGUUAAUCAUAAGUGGGAUGCUUGUCCAAGUAAGGGCAGUACCCAAGCGCCGGUCCACCCACAUAUCAAACUGUCAAAGUAACGAACGCGAAUCAUAUGAACAUGAUGAAACUAGCAUGACAGAAAUUCCCGUGUGUCCUCAGGAACGUUUUUCCUCCUAUAAGACUUUGUUCAGGCUUGUCCCUUGCUACAAAAGGGAUUGGGCCACUUGCUGCACCGUUGCUACUACUUGUUACUUGUUACUCUUUGCCUGCUACGUUUCACCUCGCUACACAAUCACUUGUAACCGCUACUUUCAGUGCUUGCAGCUAUUACCUUGCUGAAAUCCGUUUAUCAGAUCCUUCUGCUCCUCGUUGGGUUCGACACUCUUACUUAUCAAAAGGACUACGAUCGAUCCCCUAUACUUGUGGGUCAUCAGGUACUACCGCUGACCAGGGGCGGUACUGCCGCUAGGCCAGCGGUACUACCGCCAGCUCUAGCGGUACUACCGCUAGGGGACCUUUUUGCAAGAGGAGAAGGAACAGAGAGGGGAAAAGCUCCAAAGUUGCAGGAAAAAGGGGAUGGAGAAAGUGUGUGCGUGCAAGAUUGAUUCCACCCAAACCUUCCCAAUAUGGGUCCCCUCUUAAUAGUACGACGUUCCUACGACUCAAAAACCACCAAAGAGAAUCGUAGAAGACACCGUGCUUCUUUUCCACGGAGGGUGCCGAAUCGUCUUGUGCCUUUGUCAUGUAUUAUCUAAAAUGCUCAAUGCACACAAUUAGUCCAUUAAGGUACUGUCAUCAAUCACCAAAAUCACUUAGGAAUAAAUAUGCCCUAACACUAUGAACGUAGCAUGUGAUCAUGUAAUUCAUUGCUACUGUUUUCUGCAUAUAAAUUAUACAUUCCUAUGACCAUGAGAUCAUGUAACUCACUCACAUUGGAAGAAUACCUUGUGUGUAUCAAACGUCGCAAUGUAACUGGGUGACUAUAAAGGUGCUCUAUAGGUAUCUCCGAAGGUGUCCGUUGAGUUAGCAUGGAUCAAGACUGGGAUUUGUCACUUUGUAUGACGGAGAGGUAUCUCGGGGCCCACUCGGUAAUACAACAUCUCAACAAGCCUAGCAAGUAUUGUGACUAUGGAGUUAGUCAUGGGAUCUUGUAUUACGAAACGAGUAAAGAGACUUUCCGGUAACGAGAUUGAAAUAGGUAUGGAGAUACCGACGAUCGAACCUGUGGAAAGUAUCAUACCGAAGGACAAAGGGAAUGUUAUAUGAGAUUAACAGAAUCCUUGAGAUAGAGGUUCAACCGAUAAAGAUCUUCGUAGAAUAUGUAGGAUCUAAUAUGGGCAUCCAGGUCCCGCUAUUGGAUAUUGAACGGAGGGUGUCUCGGUCAUGUCUAGAUAGUUCUCGAACCAGCUGGGUCUGCACACUUAAGGUUCGAUGAUGUUUCAGUAUAGUUGAAUUAUUGAUGUUGGCAACCGAAUGUUGUUUGGAGUCCCGGAUGAGAUCCCGGACUUCACGAGGGUUUCCGGAAUGGUCCGUAGACUAAUAUUGAUAUAUAGGAUGUAUCCAUUUGGCUUCCGGAAGGUUUUCGGGCAUUACCGGUGAAGUACCGGAAGUGAAGAAUGGGUUCCGGAGUUCCACCGGGAGGGGCCACCCACCCGGGAGAGAACCAAAGAGGCCCAAGGGUGGCACACCAGCCCCUAGUGGGCUGGUGGCCAGCCCAAAGAGGCCUAUUUUGGCCAAGGGAGAAAAGGAAAGGGGGUGGGCCAAACCAAAUUGGGAAAGGAGGACUUCUCCUUCCAAGUUGUAUUGGAGGAGGACUCCUCCUCCUCCUCUUGCGUCAGCCGAACCCUAGGGAUUUGCCCUAGGGCACCACCACUCCCCUCCCUCCUAUAUAUAUAAUGGAGGUGAGAGAGGCUUUUGGCACCUCAAACCAUAGCGCAGCCCUCUCUCCCUCCACCACUUCGUGACACCUUAUAGCUAGAUCGAUACGGUACGGUGAAUCCCUGUCGGCAUAGCUCCGCCACUAUCACCGCCAUGCCGUCAUGCUACCGCAGAAUUCAGCUACCUCUUCGUCUCUCUUGCNNNNNNNNNNNNNNNNNNNNNNNNNNNNNNNNNNNNNNNNNNNNNNNNNNNNNNNNNNNNNNNNNNNNNNNNNNNNNNNNNNNNNNNNNNNNNNNNNNNNGCCGAGUCAAUGUGACCAUCUCCUCCUUUUUGUCUCACAACCACCACCACACUCUAUUCCCAUAUAGUGCUAUAUCCAUGGCUCGCGCUCAUGUAUUGCGUGAUAGUUAUAAAAAGUUUGAGAAAGUAAGAGUGCGAAAACAAUUACUUGGCCAAUACCGGGGUUGUGCAUGAUUUACAUUAGUUGUGUGAGGAUGAUGGAGCAUGGCCAGACUAUAUGAUUUUGUAGGGAUAACUUUCUUUGGCCUUUUUAUUUUGAAAGUUCAUGAUUACCUUGCUAGUUUGCUUGAAGUAUUAUUGUUUUCAUGUCAAUAGCAAACUAUUGUUUUGAAUCUUACGGAUCUGAACAUUCAUGUCACAUGAAAGAAGUUGCAAAGGACAACUAUGCUAGGUAGCAUUCAACAUCAAAAAUUCAGUCUUUAUCACUUCCCUACUCGACGACGAGCAGGAGUUAAACUUGGGGAUGCUUGAUACGUCUCCAACGUAUCUAUAAUUUUUGAUGGUUCCAUGCUAUUAUCUUGUCAAACUUUGGAUGCUUUGUAUGCCUUUUAUAUCUUUUGUGGGACUAACUUAUUAACUCAGUGCAAAGUGCCACUUCCUGUUUUUUCCGUGUUUUUGACCCUUUUCAAAGGAAGAUUUGAAACGGAGUCCAAACGGAAUAAAAUCCCCGAAAUUAUUUUUUCUGAAACAAAAGAAGAUCGGGAGACGUGAGAACCAAGGCAGGGGUCCCCAGGGACCCCACAAGCCCUGUAGCCCCGGCCAGGGGGGGAGGUUGGGGCUCAGAGGCUUGUGGGCCCCCUGGAACUCCUCUGCCCUAGGUUUCGCGCCUAUAUAUUCCCUAAAAUCCCAGAAAAAAUCAGGAGAUCAUCGAAAAUACUUUUCCGCUGCCGCAAGCUUCUGUCUCCCCAAGAUCCCAUCUGGGGCAUGUUCUGGUGCCCUGCCGGAGGGGGAUUCGGAUACGGAGGGCUUCUUCAUCAACACCAUGACCUCUCCGAUGAUGCAUGAGUAGUUCACCAUAGACCUAAGGGUCCAUAGCUAGUAGCUAUAUGGCUUCUUCUCUCUCUUGGAUCUUCAAUACAAAGUUCUCCAUGAUCUUCAUGGAGAUCUAUCCGAUGUAAUCUUCUUUUGUGGUGUGUUUGUCAAGAUCCGAUGAAUUGUGGAUUUAUGAUCAGAUUAUCUAUGAAUCUUAUUUGAGUUUCUUCUGAUCUCUCUUAUGCAUGAUUUCAUAUCCUUGUAAUUCUAUUCGAGUUGUGGGUUUUGUUUGGCCAACUAGGUCUAUGAUUCUUGCAAUGGGAGAAGUGCUUGGUUUUGUGUUCAUUCCAUGCGGUGAUCUCACCCAGUGACAAAAGGGGAAGCGAGGCACGCAUCGUGUUGUUCCGACCAAGGGUAAAAGGAUGGGAUUUUCAUCAUUGGUUUGAGAUUAUCCCUCUACAUCAUGUCAUCUUGCUUAAGGCGUUACUCUGUUCGUCAUGAACUCAAUACACUAGAUGCAUGCUGGAUAGCGGUCGAUGUGUGGAGUAAUAGUAGUAGAUGCAGAAAGUAUCGGUCUACUUGUCUCGGACGUGAUGCCUAUAUGUAUGAUCAUUGCCUUAGAUAUCGUCAUGACUUUGCGCGGUUCUAUCAAUUGAUCAACAGUAAUUUGUUCACCCACCGUAAUACUUGCUAUUUUGAGAGAAGCCUCUAGUGAACACUAUGGCCCCCGGGUCUAAUCCACACCAUAUUUUCAGCCUUACACUUUCACUUCGUUGCACUUUCCGCCUUCAGAUCUCACUUUGCAAUAAUCUUGAAGGGAUUGGCAACNNNNNNNNNNNNNNNNNNNNNNNNNNNNNNNNNNNNNNNNNNNNNNNNNNNNNNNNNNNNNNNNNNNNNNNNNNNNNNNNNNNNNNNNNNNNNNNNNNNNUUAGCUUGUGCUUACGGGUGUCGUCCAUAGCACGANNNNNNNNNNNNNNNNNNNNNNNNNNNNNNNNNNNNNNNNNNNNNNNNNNNNNNNNNNNNNNNNNNNNNNNNNNNNNNNNNNNNNNNNNNNNNNNNNNNNNNNNNNNNNNNNNNNNNNNNNNNNNNNNACCAACAUAAGGGCCUUAUUAACCAGAUCGCUGAAGGUCCGACAUUCACAAACAACCAGCUGAUACUGGAGUGACUGCUGCAGUCCUUCCAUAAAGCGUUCCACUUUGGCGGUCUGAGUGUUGACAUCUUCUGGUGCAUAUCUUGACAGGAGGUUAAACUUCUGCAAAUACUCCUUGAUGGAUCCACUGCCUUACCUUAAGGCUCAGAAUUCCCACUUCUUAAUGGUCAUCAUUUCUGGAGGAAUGUGAGCAGUGCGGAAUCCAUCUUUGAACACAACCCACGUGAUGACUUGCCCUGCUCGCAUGAUCUGAAAUCCAUCCCACCAAGCUCUGGNNNNNNNNNNNNNNNNNNNNNNNNNNNNNNNNNNNNNNNNNNNNNNNNNNNNNNNNNNNNNNNNNNNNNNNNNNNNNNNNNNNNNNNNNNNNNNNNNNNNNNNNNNNUCCCACCAAGCUCUGGUUGUGCCUCCGAGACAGUAAUAAGCAUAGAGGACUUUCUCACGAUCAUCAGUGCAUUUGACCAGUGUGAGGAGGUCUUCAAUAGUACGGAUCCAGUCAUCGGCAUCCAAUGGUUCAGUCAUCUCCGUGAAUAUGGAUGGCGUAGUUCGCAUGAACUCAGAGAGAGUAGAGUGACCAUUGUCAUUCCCGUUCUGCGGCGGGUUGUUUACCAAGGCUUGAGCCAGCUGCUGAAUAGCGGCGUUAUUGGCUUGACGUUCCUCUUGGAGAGCUUGAAGGAACUGAUCCAUAAUCAAGCUUUCAGGAGGAGGUGGUGGCGGUGGAACAUCGUCUUGCUGCUCGUGGUGAUCUCCAGCUUGNNNNNNNNNNNNNNNNNNNNNNNNNNNNNNNNNNNNNNNNNNNNNNNNNNNNNNNNNNNNNNNNNNNNNNNNNNNNNNNNNNNNNNNNNNNNNNNNNNNNCUCCGGAGCGCCGUCACGCUGCCGGAGAACUCUUCUACCUCUCCGUCUCUCUUGCUGGAUCAAGAAGGCCGAGAUCAUCGUCGAGCUGUACGUGUGUUGAACGCGGAGGUGCCGUCCGUUCGGUACUAGAUCGUGGGACUGAUCGCGGGAUUGUUCGCGGGGCGGAUCGAGGGACGUGAGGACGUUCCACUACAUCAACCGCAUUCUCUAACGCUUCUGCUGUACGAUCUACAAGGGUACGUAGAUCACUCAUCCCCUCUCGUAGAUGGACAUCACCAUGAUAGGUCUUCGUGCGCGUAGGAAAUUUUUUGUUUCCCAUGCGACGUUCCCCAACAGUGGCAUCAUGAGCUAGGUUCAUGCGUAGAUGUCUUCUCGAGUAGAACACAAAAGGUUUUGUGGGCGGUGAUGUGCGUUUUGCUGCCCUCCUUAGUCUUUUCUUGAUUCCGCGGUAUUGUUGGAUUGAAGCGGCUUGGACCGACAUUACUCGUACGCUUACGAGAGACUGGUUUCAUCGUUACGAGUAACCCCCAUUUGCUCAAAAGAUGACUGGCAAGUGACGGUUUCUCCAACUUUAGUUGAAUCGGAUUUGACCGAGGAGGUCCUUGGAUGAGGUUAAAUAGCAACUCAUAUAUCUCCGUUGUGGUGUUUGCGUAAGUAAGAUGCGAUCCUACUAGAUACCCUUGGUCACCACGUAAAACAUGCAAGAACAAAAUUAGAGGACGUCUAACUUGUUUUUGCAGGGUAUGAUUGUGAUGUGAUAUGGCCAAUGAUGUGAUGUGAUAUAUUGGAUGUAUGAGAUGAUCAUGUUGUAAUAGAAAUAUCGACUUGCACGUCGAUGGUACGGCAACCGGCAGGAGCCAUAGGGUUGUCUUUAUACUAACAUAUGUGCUUGCAGAUGCGUUUACUAUUUUGCUAGGAUGUAGCUUUAGUAGUGAUAGCAUAAGUAGCACGACAACCCCGAUGGCGACACGUUGAUGGAUAUCAUGAUGAUGGAGAUCAUGGUGUGGCGCCGGUGACAAGAAGAUCGUGCCGGUGCUUUGGUGAUGGAGAUCAAGAAGCACGUGACGAUGGCCAUAUCAUGUCACUUAUGAAUUGCAUGUGAUGUUAAUCCUUUUAUGCACCUUAUUUUGCUUAGAACGACGGUAGCAUUAUGAGGUGAUCUCUCACUAAAAUUUCAAGACGAAAUUGUGUUCUCCCCGACUGUGCACCGUUGCUACAGUUCGUCGUUUCGAGACACCACGUGAUGAUCGGGUGUGAUAGACUCAACGUUCACAUACAACGGGUGCAAAACAGUUGCGCACGCGGAACACUCGGGUUAAGCUUGACGAGCCUAGCAUGUGCAGACAUGGCCUCGGAACACAUGAGACCGAAAGGUCGAUCAUGAAUCAUAUAGAUGAUAUGAUUAGCAUAGGGAUGCUUACCACUAAAACUACUCCCGACUCACGUGAUGAUCGGACUUGGGAUAGUGUAGGUGGAUCAUGAACCACUCAAAUGACUAGAGAGAUGUACUUUUUGAGUGGGAGUUUAGCAUGUAAUUUGAUUAAGUUGAACUCUAAUUAUCUUGAACAUAGUCUAAGUCCACUUUGAAUAUAUUUGUGUUGUAGAUCAUGGCUCACGCAAGUGUCAUCCUCAAUUUUAAUACGUUCCUAGAGAAAGCUAAGUUGAAAGACGAUGGAAGCAAUUUUGUAGACUGGGCUCGUAAUCUUAAGCUAAUCUUACAAGCUGGAAAGAAGGAUUAUGUCCUUAAUGCUGCGCUAGGAGAUGAACCACCCGCUACAGCUGAUCAGGAUGUUAAGAACGCUUGGUUAGCGCGUAAGGAGGACUACUCAAUAGUUCAAUGUGCAGUCUUGUAUGGCUUAGAACCGGGACUUCAACGUCGCUUUGAGCGUCAUGGAGCAUUUGAGAUGUUCCAGGAGUUGAAGUUCAUCUUUCAGAAGAACGCCCGGAUCGAGAGGUAUGAGACCUCCGAUAAAUUCUAUGCUUGCAAGAUGGAGGAAAACUCGUCUGUCAGUGAACAUGUGCUCAAAAUGUCUGGGUACUCAAACCGUCUAGCUGAACUGGGGAUUGAACUCCCGCAAGAAGCUAUCACUGACAGAAUCCUUCAAUCACUGCCGCCAAGCUAUAAAGGCUUUGUGUUGAACUACAACAUGCAAGGGAUGAACAAGUCUCCCGGCGAGUUGUUUGCGAUGCUGAAAGUCGCAGAGUCUGAACUCCGUAAAGAACAUCAAGUGUUGAUGGUGAGCAAGACCACUAGUUUCAAGAGAAACGGCAAAGGCAAGAAGGGCAAUUCGAAGAAGAGCGGCAAGCCUGUUGCCAAUCCGCCGAAGAAACCCAAGGCUGGACCUAAGCCUGAAACAGAGUGCUUCUAUUGCAAGGGUAUGGGUCACUGGAAGCGCAAUUGCCCCAAGUAUCUGGCAGAUAAGAAGGCGGGCAAAGAAAAAUCAGGUAUAUUUGAUAUACAUGUUAUUGAUGUGUACUUAACCAGCUCUCGUAGUAGUGCCUGGGUAUUCGAUACCGGUUCUGUUGCUCACAUUUGCAACUCGAAGCAGGAACUGCGGAAUAGACGGAGGCUGGCGAAAGACGAAGUGACGAUGCGCGUAGGAAACGGUUCCAAGGUUGAUGCAAUCGCCGUCGGCACCGUGUCACUUCAACUACCAUCGGGAUUAGUGAUGAACUUAAAUCAUUGUUAUUUAGUGCCUGCGUUGAGCAUGAACAUUAUAUCUGGAUCUUGUUUAUUGCGAGACGGUUACUCUUUUAAGUCUGAGAAUAAUGGUUGUUCUAUUUCUAUGAGUAACAUCUUUUAUGGUCAUGCACCGAAUGUGAGAGGAUUGUUCAUAUUGAAUCUCGAUAGCGAUACGCAUAUACAUAACAUUGAGACCAAAAGAGUUAGAGUAAACAAUGAUAGCGCCAUAUUUUUGUGGCACUGCCGCUUGGGUCAUAUUGGUGUAAAGCGCAUGAAGAAACUCCAUGCUGAUGGACUUUUGGAGUCACUUGACUUUGAUUCACUUGACACUUGCGAACCAUGCCUCAUGGGCAAGAUGACUAAAACUCCGUUCUCCGGAACAAUGGAGCGUGCAAGUGACUUAUUGGAAAUCAUACAUACCGAUGUGUGUGGUCCGAUGAGCGUGGAGGCAUGCGGCGGAUAUCGUUAUUUUCUCACCUUCACUGAUGAUUUGAGUAGAUAUGGUUAUGUCUACUUAAUGAAGCACAAGUCUGAAACAUUUGAAAAGUUCAAGCAAUUUCAGAGUGAAGUAGAAAAUCAUCGUAACAAGAAGAUCAAGUUCCUACGGUCUGAUCGUGGGGGUGAAUAUCUGAGUUUCGAGUUUGGUGCUCACUUAAGACAAUGUGGAAUUGUUUCGCAGUUAACACNNNNNNNNNNNNNNNNNNNNNNNNNNNNNNNNNNNNNNNNNNNNNNNNNNNNNNNNNNNNNNNNNNNNNNNNNNNNNNNNNNNNNNNNNNNNNNNNNNNNGAAUUCGUAAUCAUAUGUGUCUGGGUUAAUGUGAGGUUCAUAAUCCUCUUCAUUGGGGGUAGGUGUUCUAGCAUGUGGGGACACUUCAUAAACAACAUCCCAACCAUUCAGAUUCUCAUCAGUUUGGCACGCCCACUGUAGGUAGAAAACUUGUGUCGCCUGUUGAGCCGUAAUAUAGACAUCAGGCACAUCUAAAUGGGUCAUUCUAGUCUCCUUCAUGUGGAACCAAUAACAUUUGAAGACUACGACGUUCGGUGGGUUUUGACCAUAGCAUUGAAGUUCAUAAAUUGCUUCAACUCUUCCAUAAUACCCGGUACAUCUUUCGCCGAUAGCAGAGACACCACAAUUUAUAGAUUUCCGGUCGGGCAUAGAUAGCACUUUACCAAAGGUACGAAAGUGAUACUCGUUGAUGUUUUUUUUCCUCAAAUGAAUGGACCUUAUAGUCAAAACCAUUAGCAACUUGUCUCAAUUCGGCGUCCAUAGACUCUGAAUUAGCCUACAAGUUUAAUACUAAAGGAUUGUUGCAUUAGCCACAAAUUAGACCAAGAAAUGAAAUGGUCCAUUAUUGAUAAUUACCAUUUGUCUAAACCAAGAGAUGAAACCGGGAUAGCCACCUCCAUGCUUUGCCAGAAGCUCAUACUCUUCGACGGAAUCCUUUUGGAUCACCACUCCAUUUGAGAAUUGGGUGAUGUAUCGACUGUAUGAGAUAUCCGGGAAUAAGAGGAGUUCAAAGGAAUUAGAAGUUGUAGAAAAAUGUAUCGAGAAAUUUCUCGAUGUACGGCCACACUUCCGUUACUUUGUUGAAGAUAUACAAUGAAAUGGUCCACCAUUCUUCGACAACCAACGUUACUGGUUUCAAAGCACCAGCUGGUGCGAGCUUCCCUUUGAAUAGACUGAGGUUAGAUCCACCUUUUUAGGCUCGCCAUAAUUGUACCAAGGCUUCGUAUUAUGCAAACGAUUUCUGGCUUCGUAGUGUGUUGUCACGAAGUUUGCCACCUCCCUAGUAAUGAAUGCCUCGGCCAUCGAUGCUUCAAUUCUAUGUUUAUUUUAACAUUUUGCUCAAAGAGUCUUCUGCAUCCUCUCAGUUGCAAAGCACCAACGAUUUUGCACGGACCACCCAAUGUUGCCUCGGUCGGGAGAUGUAAAAUCAAAUGCUGCAUUGAAUUAAAGAAGCCUGGUGGAAAGAUCUUCUCUAACUUGCAGAGCAACUCUGGCGCUAACUCCUCCAUGUCAUCUACCAUGCCAGGUGAUAACCCACAAGUGUAGGGGAUCGUUUGUAGCCUUUUUUGAUAAGUAAGAGUGUCAAACCCAACGUGGAGCUAAAGGUAGAAUUAAUAUUCUCUCAAGUUCUAUCGACCACUUAUACAACUCUAUGCGCGCAAACACUUACUUUACCUGGAACAAGUAUGAAACUAUUUUGCGGAAAAAUAAAGAGCAAGUAAAUAAAUGUUAGGGAAUAUUUAGUAGAAAGCUUUUUGUGUAACUCAAGAGAAAGAUUGUCCAUAGGAAAUUGAAUAUAACAUGAUAAAUACUUAUUAUGUGCAAUGAGGGAGAGGCAUACAGUAACAUACUUUCCGUACUUGGAUCAUAUGCACUUACGAUUGGACCUCUAGCAAGCAUCCACAACUACUAGAAAUCAUUAAGGUAAACCCAACCAUAGCAUUAAACAUCAAGUCCUCUUUACUCCCAUACGCGCACAACUCCCUUACUCGGGUGUAAGUUUCUCUCACUCUUGCCACUCACUAUAAGCGAAUCAUGAACAUAUUGCAAACCCUCUAGCGUGUAUCCUUCAUGUGUGCACCUCACGGAAGGUGAUGAGGAUAUCAACACCAUCCUUACACCCACAACCCGAGCUGCUAUACAUACUGGACCAGUUACUAGAGCUCGCGCACGCCAAUUGAAUUAUCAGGUACUUUCAUUUCUUGGAAAUACUUCUAAUGUUCAUGAACAUAUGAUGCUGCCUAAGUUAGAUACUUUUGUUGUACUUAUGAAUGAAGGACCUUGCAUGGACAACAAGCAUAUCCGUUGGAGCGGGAUCAAGCAUGGAGAGGAAGGUGCACAUGCGGGAGAGAACAAUGGAGCUGCCACUGGUGAUUUUUGUACUUUAAAGCCACCAUAAGGAGAGCCAGGCCUGGCCCUGAGGGGGGGGAGCGGGGCGGCCGCCCCGAGCCCCCAUCCCAGUCCUAGCCUCCCAAAUAUGUAUGAGGAACCACUGGAGUCACCAUUAGAAGACCUGAAGCUUUUCUGCAUCUGCAUAAGGAAGAUCAAAGCCGAACCGUUUUUCUCUGUUUAGCGAACUGGGCCGUGGGUCUUUUCUCCUUAUCGAUGGUUAAGUGGUUGUUGGGCUAAACUGUUGUAGCAACGCGCGUAGUGUGGUGGCGUCAGGAGGGGCAUGCACGACCUAUAUAACUGGCUGAUGAUUUCAGUGAGUUUUUUGAACCUCUAAUUAUGUCUGAAAGGUUAAUUCCCAUUUGGCUAUAAUGAAGCAGAGAAGACCCAGUGAAUACACUUGACUUUGCUACUUUGUACACUACCAAUUUAUAGUACAUGUUUUGACUCAAAAAAUAAAUCAAUAGUAUUCUACUUGUUAUGCUGAUUAUAUGUUUUCUGAAGCUUUGAUUAUAUAUUUUAUGUCACAUAAAUUUCUCUUCUUGCUAUCAGUUCCACAUACAAUGUUUUUAUUUAGUCUUCCACUAUAACACCCGAUGACAUUGGGUUCACUGGAUAAUAAAGACAAUCUGGCUUGAUAUCCUAUGGAUCACACCUUUUUUUAUCAGAGUACAAUCGAACUUGCUCACAUACACGAGCAUACACUCACUCUUAUGAACGCACAAGCUCACACCCCAUUCCUAUGAGAACCUCUAAAAGAUUGAGCCGACACAUCAUCUUGAGAUUCACAAAGUCCAGAAAAAUGCAAGCUUAAGUCUCAGACUUGAACUCUAAUGAAUAGGAGAUACCACUGUCCUCCUCACCAUUCAAUCACAGUUAGGUUUUUUCUAUGGAUCACAACCAUGACUGGAUGUAUGUGAUCAAUGUUUGUUAUCUUGUGCAUCUUUACCCGAAACACUCACUGACCUCCCUCCGCACAACCACAUCGAGAGGAGACCACAUCGUUCAAAGAAGUAUAUUUAUAAUUAUUUUUAUUUGCACCAACGUUACUAAGUUUAUAUAAAAAAUGAGGGUCUGGUAUUCUAGUUUUGCCCCGGGCCCCCAAAAUCUCUGGGCCGGCCCUAAGGAGAGUAUGAAGGCUUUGGACGAAAUAUUCAAGAUGCCACUUUAUAAAUUUCAUCCAUAUGCUAUUAUAGGUGUUGCACCACCUUAUUUUUGGGAUAGGUGUCGGUGCAGUAAAGACAGGGGUCUCUAGUGCCACAGACUUGUGCACGGGCGCAAAGAGCCCCUCACGUGAGGGCACUAUGGAAUCCAGACAAGACUCGCCCCAAAGGCAUCCAAGGCCCUGGCAAGCCUGUCUUGCCGGGAAGACACCCAAGUCCACGUCCGCCCGAUGGACGUGAUGACCACACCUAGCACAAGGCCCCAGCGAUCCCCCCUCGCCGGGAAGACAGCCGAAGCCCCCGACAAGCUUCCUUACUGGGAUGAAGCACCAAGUCCUCGACAAACACCCUUGCCAGGAUGACGUGGCAGCGCACCAGAGGGCGACCGCCCUUGCCACAGUACCACCGCUCCCCCGUGUUCCAGCGCAUUCCGCAUGCGCCAGCGGGGAGUCCAAGUGUUGAAAUACCUGGACACAUGUCUUCACCAGCAAUUAGCUGACAUGAAGAAGACGUGCAUUUAAUGCACCUCACAGCGGUAGAUGGAUAAGCGCAGUUGUAGGUUUACUGUAACAUGUCAUGAACCUACCAUUGAGCACUGUAGGUGACCCCUUUGCCUAUAAAAGGAGGCCCUUAGCUCAUUCACAAGGGGUUAGACUUUUGGGAGAUUGGCCAAGAAGAGGAUUAUCAUCACUGUAAACGAACAACAAAAGAACGUUUAACGCAAUCAGAUGAGCAUGACGUAGGGUUUUACGCGUAAGCGGCCCGAACCUCGGUAAAAAGGUUUGCAGGGUGUCGAUCGUUUGGUCUGCUCUUACGCUGUUUUGCCCCGCCCUACGAUCACAAGGGUAUCACAUUAAUCCCCAUAGGUAUCGACCUAGCAUCGCCGACAUCUUUGGCGCGCCAGGUAGGGGAGGAAAGAUUGCAUUAAUCUGACCUAGCCUUCAACGCAUGACCUCUCCUUUGUCGCUAUGGCCCCCAAGAGGAGGGGCGCUCCGGCGACCAACGCUCCCGUACCCAGCCCUCCGGCCCCGGCGAGGGCAAGGGAAGGUACGGGUGCAGGACAAGAAGGCGGAGGCCCCAAGCUUCCGCAGCAUUCUGGAGAGCAAACCCAGGCGAGUGGAGUCGCCUGCGGCCGCGGCGAUCAUCCUCCCCCUGGUACGUCGAGGUACACGGCCGCGCGACCAGCCGACGGCGCGACCACGUCCAUGGAUGCGCCGACGCCUUUCAAGGCGCUCACGCGUGCUCACACAUCGCAGCCUUCUCAGGCCACGCAGGACGGAUCGCCCCAGGAGGGUGGCGAUCCACCCCCACCUAAGGGGACCCCUGGACACAUUCUCGAGGUACGCCGAGCAGGCGUACCCGCUCUACUAUGGCGCGGGCUGGCGAGCCACCGCUUGACCAACAGGGAGCCCCUUCUAAUAUGGUUAGAAGUGAGAGCCCCCUGAGGUCUUCGCACAUCUCGUCGCCGCUCGCACCGGCGGAAGCACUGAAGCAGGCCUAGCUGCUCCUCGAUUUCCCUCCACCGACGGACAAACAAAGGGAGUGGAGGGCCACCAUCCAGAGCCUCCUGGCAGUCGCCGACGGAGACCAUCCACGACAGGCAGGGACGUCGAAAUGGCCCUCCAGCAAACACGCUUGGGACCGUGCCGAGAAGGCAGGGGCUCCCACCACGACCGUGCACUCUCCUCCCCGGCAACAAGAAUGGGUCAUCGUCUCCGACGACUCGACCGGGUCUUCAGACCCCCGCCACCACCGCGAUCAGCAGGACAUUUUCCGCGAGCGGCACGAGGAAGACGCCCACACCCUCAUCGAACGGCAGCGCGAGACACGCCAUCAGUCAGAUAUCCACGCUGGGACCGUCGCUGGCGUACCGGAUUCGGGGUACCGUGGCGACCUACCUCACGAGGUAGGCUGCCCAACAUUUACCCGCGAAUUACGGCGCGUCUAGUGGCCCAGCUCCCGUACUUUCAAACCAGAGAUCCCGGAAAAGUACGAUGGCAGGACCCAUCCGUCGGAGUUCCUUAGCAUCUAGACCAUCGCGGUGCAGGGUGCCGGGGGACGAGGCGAGAAGAUACUGGCCAACUACUUCUCGUUGGUGCUCAAGCCCAACGUCAGGUCAUGGUUGAUGGACCUCCCCAAGAACUCCAUCUCCUCCUGGAAGGAACUCUGCCAGGACUUCGUUGGCGCCUUUACUAGCGGCCACCGAGCUCCUGGUCAGGAGAGCGACUUGCACAUCAUCCCCCAGAAGGAGGGUGAACCCCUGCGCAAGUACAUCCAGAUGUUCAGCCGUAUCCAACACAUCCCUGACGUCCACCCAGCUGCCGUCAUCAACGCGUUCCACCAGAAAAUGCGCAAUCGGAAGAUGCCCGAAGAGCUGGCGAUGAAUAAAGUCCGCGAUGUCGCCAAGCUCUACGCUCUGGCGGAUAGGUGCGCAUGUGCAGAAGAAGGAAGGAAGCUCCCUGACGAGAAUGCCGGUGUUGAAGCCGACUCCUACUCCAAAGACGCCGAUGUCCCCACCAAGAGGGGAAAGCAGCGUAACAAGAAACGGAACGACAAAACCGUGUUUGUUGUCGAGGCAACCAACGACGCCGACUCCACCAAGAAAGCGAAAGCCGAGGCCUCCGGCAAGGAUACCGCCGGGUGCGGCUCCUGCCAGGCCUUGGCGUCCGCGGAUAAACCGGAUGGCCCCAGCACCCAGUACUGCAAGAUCCAGUGCACCAAAGGCCACGACCUCCAGCCCUGCCGGCAAGUUGAACAGCUUGCCGAGAGGCAGCGGGCCGAAUACCAAAGGUGCGACAAAGAAAAGGCCUAGCAAGGUGGCGAAGGGUCAGGCGGGAAGAAGGGCACCCAAGGGAGCCGCCCCGGCAAGUUCAAGGGAAAGAAAGCAAGGCCCGCGCAACCACGAGAAAGAACAGAGGCGGAUGAUGAUGAAGAUUGCCCCGACAACGACUCCAGUGACCACGAAUUGCAGAGGGCAACAUACAUGAUGUGCAUUGAAGGAGGCGCCUCACUGCAUUCUUCGCACCGCCAGCUCAAGAAGUGGGCACGUGAAGUGAUUGCAGCAGAGCCCUCCAUCGGCGCCCGCAAGCCCCUAAGAUGGUCACAGACACCGAUCAUUUUUGACUCUGAGGACCACCCAGACCGCGUUACCGUGGUCGGGUGCUUGCCGUUGUUGGUGUCACCGAUGAUCCGCAACCUCAGAGUAACGAAAAUGCCGGUGGACGGAGGGGCCGGCCUGAAUCUCAUUUCCCCCGAUGUAAUCCAGAAGCUGCAGAUUCCCGAUGAAGACUUUGAAGACAGUGGCGCGUUCCAAGGGAUCAAUCCCAUGAAGAUCCAGCCCAAGGGAAAGAUCAUGUUGCCGGCGACUUUCGACAGCGACCAGAACUACCGGAUGAAGAGGGUCAUCUUCGACGUCUCCGACAACCCGUUCGCGUACAAUGGGAUCCUGGGGCGUUCGACAUUGGCCAAAUUCAUGGCGGCCUCACACUACGCCUAGGGUACCUUGAAGAUGCCUGGCCCGGUCGGCGUCAUCGUCGUCCGCGCCAACAAGAAGGACGCACUCCGAUGCACGGACUGCCUCUACCAGGAGGCUGUGGCAGCACCCGUCGCCAAGAUUCCUUCCACAUCGCCCCGGCAAGGACCCCAGGAGAGAAGAGGGACGACAAGGGAGCUUCCCGCAUUGACCUCGGCAAGCGCACCUCGUUAGAGUGUUGUGCUACCAACAGGGACAUACCAGAAGGCUCCACCACGCGAAGCAAAAGGUCCAGGGCUGCUCCGCCUAAGAAAAAGAAAGUGCCAGCCAAGGAAGACGACUCAGGUGGAACUUUCACCAUCAGUUCCACCCUCGACAACAAAUAGGAAAGCACGCUCAUCACCUUCCUACGGGAAAAUCUUGAUGUGUUUGCCUCGCAACCGUCAGAUAUUCCCGGCGUUCUGGGGAGGUGAUUGAGCACCACCUUGCCGUCUAUCCACACACGCGGCCGGUCAAGCAGAAGGUGAGGAAGCAAGUCCUAGAGCGACAAGAGUUCAUUGCCGAAGAAAUCAAGAAGCUGGAAGCGGCCGGCCUGGUCAGGGGUGUCAUCCAUCCCACGUGGUUGAACAAUCCAGUCGUUGUGCGCAAGGCAAGUGGAAAAUGGCGGCUUUGUAUUGACUUCAUCGAUGUUAAUAAAGCCUGUCCCAAAGAUCCUUUCCCCUUGCCGUGCAUCGACCAGAUUGUCGACUCCACUGCGGGCUGCGACCUCCUGUCCUUCCUCGACGCCUACUCCGGUUAUCACCAAAUCUACAUUGUGGAGGAAGAUGAGGAGAAGACUGCGUUCAUCACCCCAUGCGACACGUACUGCUUCAUGCGGAUGCCCUUUGGGUUGACGAACGCUGGCUCGACUUCCACAAGGGUGAUCCAAAUCGGUUUUGAACCCCAACUCCAUAGAAAUCUCGAAGCUUAUACGGAUGACAUAGUGGUCAAAACCAAGGACGGAUCCACCCUUGUGCCAGACCUGGAAGAAACAUUUGCCAACCUGCGCAAAAUUAACCUCAAGCUCAACCCUGAGAAAUGUGUCUUCAGCGUCCCGUCUGGCAAGCUUCUCGGGUUUUUCGUGUCCCAACGGGGGAUCAAAGCCAAUCCCGACAAGAUCAAGGCCAUCGAGCAGAUUGAGGCGCCGAAGCACGUCAAGGACGUGCGAUGCCUAGCCGGAUGUGUAGCUGCCAUGAGCCGAUUCAUCUCCAAGUCCGCUGAACGCGCCCUGCCUUUCUUUAAAAUCCCGAAGAAGGCGGGAUCGAUGAAGUGGACUCCUGAGGCCGAAGAGGCACUACAAGACUUGAAGGAAUGCCUCUCCUCCGCACCCGUGUUGGUGGCCCCUAGACCCCAAGAGCCACUGCUCUUGUACCUGGUGGCAACCAACCAGGUGGUCAGUGCUGCCUUGGUGGCACAAAGGGAGGAGGGCGAUGAAGCCCCGUCAAAGGCAACGCAACCCGACGAGGAUGCGCGUGAUGGCAAGCGAGAGCCCCCUGCUGUGGUAGAAGACGAGCAAUAGAAGUCCUAGCCAACCAGCGGACCUGUGCAAAAGAAGAAGUUGGUGCAAUGCCCGGUCUAUUUCGUCAGCUCCCUCCUACAAGGGGCCAGAACGAGAUAUUCCGGGGUGCAAAAAUUGCUUUUUGGCCUCCUCAUGGCCUCAAGGAAGCUGCGCCACUACUUCCAAGCACAUGAGAUUACUGUCGUCACUCGCUUCCCGUUGCAGAGGGUUCUGUGGAACCCCGACGCAAUCGGCAGGAUAGUAGAGUGGGCGUUGGAAUUGUCCAGCUUCGGCCUCAAGUUCGAGAGCACCUCGACCAUACGGAGCAAGGCCCUAGCGGAGUUCAUUGCAGAAUGGACCCCAACGCCAGACGAAGAAAUACCAGAAUCAACCCUCCUAGGGAAGGAAUUGACUCAAGAGUGGAUCAUGUACUUUGAUGAAGCUUUCUCCCUCCAGGGCGCCGGGGCUGGCAUGUUGCUAGUCGCGCCUACCGCAGAGCAUCUCAAGUACGUGAUCCAAAUGUAUCCCCCCCCAAGAGAAGUAAAUCAACAACACCGCAUAAUAUGAAGGGCUGUUUGCCGGGCUCAUGAUCGUGACAAUUCUUGGGAUUCGAAAGCUCAUAAUCAGAGGUGACUCCCAACUAGUCAUCCGGCGAGUCCACAAAGAUUAUCAAAGCCCGUUGAUGGAGGCCUAUGUGGAGGAGGUGAGAAAGUUGGAAGAACGCUUUGACGGACUAUAGAUGGAGCACGUACCCCGUGCCGAAAACACCAUCGCAGAUGACGUGACGAAGCAAGCAACACUUAAGCUCCCUGUGGAACCAGGGACUUUCGUGCUACGACUGACUAAACCCUCCGUGGCACCAUCGACCAAGCGAGACAAAAGGAAGAAUCUCAACUCCGGCAAGUACCUCCCGGUAGACCUACCAAGGAGCCAUGGUAAGGACCUUGCCGCGGAAGAAGUUGCCGGACCAGAAGCAGAGCCUGCGGGGGGGGGGAUCCCACCCCGACAGAGGAAUUGCCGUUGCUCCUCGCCAUCGAGCCACGCGCUCCGUCAUGGGCACAUCAUAUAGUCGAUACCUCCAAACUGGGGAAUUGCCUGAGGAUCUUUAAGAAGCACAUAAAGUAGCUCGCCAGUCAAGCAUGUACCAAUUCAUGGACGAUGCCCUCUACAAGAGGCGACUAAAUGACGUGAAGCUAAAGUGCAUCCCCGUGGAGGAAGGACUGCAGCUGUUGGCCGAAAUUCACGGAGGAAUAUGUGGAUCACACAUAGGGUCAAGGGCCCUUGCGAGAAAGGCAUUCCGGCAAGGUUUCUUCUGGCCCACAGCCUCCAGGAUGCAACUACACUAGUAACCAAGUGUGAAGCAUGCCAGUUCCAUUCAAGAAUGCUUCAUCAUCCAGCACAAGCUCUCCAAACAAUCCCUCUCUCGUGGCCAUUCUCGGUCUGGGGGCUCGAUAUCCUCGGCCCCUUCCCCGCGUCGCUGGGGGCUUUGAGUACUUGUAUGUCGCAAUCGACAAGUUCACAAAGUGGCGAGAAGUGGAGCGAGCAAGAAGGGUAACAACGCAGUCAAUUGUCAAUUUCUUCAAGGGGAAAGUCUGUCGCUUUGGCGUCCCGAACAGGGUCAUCACCGACAAUGGAACCCAGUUCACGAGCCGCAUCUUCAUGCAAUACGCCCAGGACCUAGGCAACAAAAUAUGCUUCGCUUUCGUCGCUCACCCAAGGAGCAACUAUCAAGCCGAAAGGGCAAAUACCGAGGUACUGCGUGGGCUCAAUACUAGAACUUUUGAGAAGCUGCGCUAACAUGGAAAGUACUGGAUUGAUGAACUGCCGACGGUUCUUUGGUCGAUCAGAACGACGCCAAAUCGAGCCACCGGCCAGACACCCUUCUCCGUGGUCUAUGGGGCAGAAGCAGUUCUUCCCACGGAACUCGCUUAUGGGUCACCUCGGGUGCUCGCUUAUUAUGAGCUCGAGCAAGAGCAAUUGCGUCCAGAUGAUGUUGUGCUCCUUGAGGAGACCUGGAUUCAGGUGGCUGUGCGAGCCUCUCACUACCAUCAAGCCUUGCGCCGCUAUCAUAGCCGCAAGGUACGAGCCAGAAGUUUCGAGGAAGGUGACCUUGUUCUUAGGCACGUUCAGUCGACCAAGAAUACCAACAAGUUGACACUGAAGUGGGAAGGCCCAUAUCGGGUAGUACGAGUCACCAGGCCCGGCGCUAUCCGCGUGGAGACCGAAGAUGGCUUACCACUGCGCAACUCCUGGAACAUAGAGCAUCUUUUAAAGUUCUACCCGUAGGGAGAGGUUGCCGGGCCACCCGACAACCACCUUUCGUACAAGUCUUGACGAAGCUGCAUGUAAUCCUUUGUACAAAGCCAGGCGAAGACCCUGAGCGCAGUCAAAUAAAGCAUAGCGUUCCGCAUCAUCAUAUAGAUCCUCGUGAUAGAAAACAGGCAUGCAUCUAUGACUUUAUGAAACGCAUGAGCUAACAAGGGGACCAUAGCCCCGACAGAUAUUUUCCCUCUAUUCUUUCCUUUGAAAGACAGGUAUUACCCCUGCGCACAAGUUUGCCGGGGGGAGAUAGUGGGGACGCCCACAGAAGAUAGUUGUAACGACUAAGAUGCAACCCUUUCCUUAUUUGGGGGCGAGGCCUCAAAAGGGGAAAGGGGUGCAUCUACGCGAUUCGCAAACGGGAUAUUCAUCACAUUACAUAAAUAAAGAUUAACAAGUAGGGCAUACACUUGCCAUCUGUUAAGAAUAUAUCAUAGCUUACAGACACACAUUAUUCAGAGUAGCAGCAAGUCCAGCUACAGACUUAAACAGAAGAAAACAGGUAAUCUAACACAUCCCGUAUGCUAGCCCACGAUCAUGACCAUGGCCUCAGUCUUCCGGAUAUUUCACAUACAGACGGUCAGAGUCCUCAUCAUACUCCCACUUCAGCUGGUUGUCAUCAGGAUCUCCUGCAUCGGGCGUACCUGAACCUGGUAGGGUUUGAAGUAAUCUGUGAGCCACGGGGACUUAGCAAUCUAAUGACCUUGGUACUGAAUCUAGUCAAGUUAUUAGGUGAGGAAGGUUUAGUGUAUGGGUUUGCAGCAACCUAAGCAUAUAUAUGGUGGCUAACUUACGAUGAACAAAGUAAUUUGUAUGGUGGUCUACGCGAGCGAUCAAAGACUAGAUGAUCACUAAGUAAUCCUGAACACCUACUUACGUCAAACAUAACCCCACCGUGUUCCCGAUCAAGAGUGGUCUUCGAAGGAGACAGUCACGGUUACACACUCAGUGGACAGUUUUAUUGGAGUUACUUUAAGUUGUCUAGUACCGGAUGUUAACAAAUUAUCCAUGUUUGCCACAUAACCGCGGGCACGACUUUCCGAAAGAUUAAACCCUGUAGGGGUGCUCCAACUAGUCCGUCACAAACUACCACGGGCCGCAAAGUAAUCCUCUAUCACGAAUCUCGUGAUCUCAUCGGAUUCUUUAGAGGAAAACCUCAACUUUGAGAAGACCCAAAGUUUCACCGGGAUUCCUAUACACAAGAUAUAUCGCUAAGGUAAGACAAAUCUGGCAAGACCUCCCGACGUGUCGACGAACCUGAUAGGAGCCGCGUAUCUCGUUCUGAGGACACGGUCGGAUGAGCGCAGCGUACAGUGUCCUGAUAGAAAUCUCCCGAGUUGCCCCGGGUUGGCCCCACAGACGACUCUAGUUUGGACCAACACUCAUGAGGAGCACUGGCCCGGGUUGUUGAUUAAUUCCUCGGGGUAGCUAUUCCCUAUGCAAGUUAUUAUUAGGUGAUUAGCAGAUUAAAACCAAUGUUGGGUCCUGCCACACAAGCCUUAACACUGCACGAUUUACCAAGGGGGUCCCCAUAACAACCCCGAACGUGUUAGGAGCGAUCAUUUAUGGAAUCAAACACCGGUAACCGAAACUAAGGCGGCAACAACGGAACAAGCACCCGGCAAAUAGCAGUUUAAACCUAAUGAUAUCAAAAUAGUCAUGUUAUCACAUGAGACAGCUGGCACCUGCAACUAGCAAAGCUAUUCAUUAGAGGUUCAGCAAGCCUACUUAGCCAAACAACAUUUGCUAGCAGAGGGAGGUGUUUGGGUUUCAUGGCAAUGACAGGUGGCAUUUACAUCAAGUGGUAGGCAGCGAGCAUGUAUCGAAGGAAACGUGAUUCUAAGCAUAACAAAGCUAGAUACGGUAUCAAGGUCAUGGUCAUCUUGCCUGUGAUGUCUUCAUCUUGGAACUGCUCUUGAUCUUCCUGCACGUACUCUCCAGAAUCCACGUACUCGCUCUCCUAUCCUGAUGCUACCCAAGAUAAAAUAACAGCCAAUGAACACCAACACAACGUAAUGCAACAAGCAAUAUGAUGCAUGUGUGAAGAAGGAACCAUGCAUCACUAUUCUAGUCACUUUCAUAUGCAUUAGUUUAGUUAAUUGAAUUCUGGACAUAACCUCAUAUUAAGUUAUCUUGACAUGCAUGAAGAUGGCACGAUCAUGUGCAUCACGAUAAAACGAUGCAAAAACAUAUAAAGAACAUAGAGAACGGAGCUACGGAUAAACCGGAAACUACGAAACAAGAUAUGGAGACCUACGGUUCAAAUCAGCCACAACCACACUCCAAUGGCACUCUCCUGGUGUUACCAAGUUGCCACAUGAUCAAACAACCAAAUAUAAGCGGGGUGGUGCAUGGAAACACACCACACCAUCAACAAUGCCCACACAAGCUUCAAAUCAACAAAAACAUGCAAUCUGUUUUUAACAGCAUCAUAGCAGUUUGUCUACAAUAUUUAAAGUAGCUACAGCCAUCCAAAUGAGCCAAACAAGAUAUGAGGCAAAAGCCAUUCAAAAGCUAUACAACCCUGUGCAAGAAGUUAAUACAAAGGAAUCACACAUGCGCAGAUCUACAUGCACAAACUUGGACAAAAUAUCACAUAUUCUGGGACUUAGGGAAAAUCACAGAUUUUCACCAGCUGCUUAUGCUCUGAAGCAUUUUGGCAGCCUCCAAAAUGAUAUCUACAUGAAGCGUAUAAGCAUGAAAUUUAACAGGGAGCUAGACAAACACAAAAGCUCACAAACUUUAGUUUGUUGCAUGGGCUGAUUCCCAACACAUGAGCUAUUGCAACCAAGACAACAGGGGAAGAAAAUAACAGCAGAUUCUCAUACUUAGUGAAAAUCACAGAUUUUCACAAAGCUGUUAGUUUCAGCCAAGUGUCAACUUUGGCAAGGCACAAUAGGUGCAUACAAAUUCCUAUGAACAAAAAAAAGACCCCAUGCUGUAGAGGGGUUCACCCACUACCACCACAUCAAGGAUUCAUCCUCAUAGAGUCAAGGCAUCACCUAAUACAAAGCACUAAACAUGGCAUCAUGACAGAAAAUGAUAGUUUUAUGAAGUUGCUCUAAAGUGAAAUCUGAUUGCACCAAUGGAUUCCUGGGAUGAUUAUACCCCAAAAUCAUAUAUAAUACAUGGGUACUUGCAUGUAACAUCUAGGCACAAAGCUAGCUCGAAAAACAAACCUAGAAUCCAAUAUGACAUAUAGGAACAAUAUCACAUGUAGAUAUAGCACAAGUAGCAACAUCUACACCUACACAUGCACACACACAAGCCCAUACACCACUACAUCACUCCAUAGUGGCAAGCAUGAGGGGUUAGCCCUCAUGCACAAGUGCAUAUGUGCACCCAUGCCCACACACACACAUGCAUGAGCACAUACACACAGAUAUAUGUGCUCACACACACACACUAACAAAAGGUGCAACAUGAGGGGCUAGGCACUCUUGCACAUAUGCAUGUGCAACCACAUUCACUCACACACACUCACAUGUGUGCACACCUUCACUCAUGUGCACACACACAUACACACACUAGUGCACACACCACCUACAGACACUAGUGCACACACCACCUACACACACUCAUGCACUUGCACACACACAUACAUGGCAUCAGCUAAGCCUUGAAGGGAUAAACCCCCUGGUUUUGGAAAAAAAGUACAAGGCAUACUUGCUGCACAAGAAAAAGAAAAAGAAAAAAAAAACAUAACAAAGGGGAACAAAAAGAAAAUGGGGAGGCCCCUGGACUCGUACCCAGGACCCCCUAGCACUGCUACACCAACACACACCACUGGGCUACCCUUCGGCUCUUGACAGAGGAGAGGGAGACAACAUGGUAAGCUCUGUGCACAAGCACUUCUACUAGCGAAAACCACAAUUAAAUAAAAAGGGGGCCUUGCGGGGAUCGAACCCACGACCUGCCUGUGCAAAAUCGCUCCCCUACCAGUCUGCUAUGCAAUCAGUUCUUAAUAGAGAGGGGGGAGUUGCUCUUUUGAGCAUCCCCUCUGCUCCUACUGCACACAAGCGGCGGCCAGAACAGGGGAGACUCCCCGGCGACGCUCUGGCGAUCUAUCACCUACGACUACUACGGCGCGGGACACGGGAGGUUGGGGGAACCCGUUCCUGUGGCUAACCCACGCGGAGGGGCUGUGAGAUGGCGACUCGACGCGGCUGCGCAACCGGCCGGAACAGGACACGACGGCGGCGCAAUUCCGGCGACAGGCGAGACUUUAGACGCGGGGAAGGAAAGGGGGCUCACUUAGGGGUGCUCGAAGGAGUCAAUGCUGCCGAGAAGAGGAGGAAGAUGCGAGGUCGACGGCGACGGGCUUCUCUGCUCCGCCCGAGACGACGACGGCGAGGAGAGGUCGCCAGAGGAGAGGAUCCACCCCUAGCACCGGGAAUGGAGCGAGGGAGGAUCCAGCAUCCUCCCUGCACUCUCGGAUUCGACGGUGAGGCACCGGCGAUGCGGAGAGGCACGAUGGCGAGGAGGCGCUCUCUCUGAACCCGAAGGUAUUCCUCUCUCAAGCUUACCUGAGGAGGGGAAGAAGGAGGGGGAAGAAGGUGCUGGCGGCAGAGUAGAAGGAAGGGAGGAACCCUAGGAGGAGGGGGCACGCACGCCGAGGCUUCAUAGCCCUCGGCUUUAGUGUAUUCACGACGUCAACGGUGCUCUCUCUCACUGAUGCCCCACUGACGGAAAGGGGAGAAGCAACGGCGUCAAAGGAGGAAGAACGAACGGGGAGAGGGCCGCGCGAGAGAAAGAAAAGAUAUAGGCCAGGGGAAAGGAGGAAGCCAGCCCACAUGCGCCUGAUCAGAGAGAAAUAAAAAAAAGGGUUUUCUCAUUUUAAAUAACACCUUCAAACAAAAAUGCACACAGCCACACAGGGGUUUGAAGAAAACAAAAUAAAAAUACCUAGGGCAUAAGGGAAUUAUGCCCUACUUAAAUAAAAUAUAAAUCUGAUUUUUGGAGCAACUAAAUUAAAUUCAAAACAGAAUUUAAUAUGUUGUUUUGUUGGAAAAAACCUACAUGGCUUAGGUUUAAAAACCCCAAGACAACACCCCUACACACACCAGAUAAAACAACAAAUGAACAACAUUUUUAAAACAAGUUUUGACAAGUUAAAACAUGAGUUCAAAUAAUAAUGGAGAAGGGGGGUUUGAGACCUUGUUUGAAAGCAACAUUGUUUUGAAAAUAUCACCACAUCAAACACAAGCACACUAGCAUUCAAAAUGGAUCAAGCAACAACAUCAUCACAAUGGGAUUAACAUGAAAGCAAUGAAUGCCAUGGUGCAAAGGUGAUGACAUGAAAUGACCACAUGAAAUGAUAACUCUUUUAGCAUAGAGAACAUGGUUCCAAAUAGGAAAGGUUCCCAAAUAUGGCAAGGGUUACAUCUGGGGCAUUACAAUAGUGGGGACGCCCACAGCAGCAACAAGAGCCAAGAUAUUCCACUCAAAGCCGAAAGAAGUAAGCGCAACCAGCAGGAAAGUAGCGGACACUUUGAGUAAGUUGUUGGGUAAGCCAUUGGGUGAGCACACUCCUCUCCUCUCUAAAACGGCCCACUUUAUCUCAAACGGAAAAACCUGUGCGCUGGGGAUUGCUGUCAUUAGCCUCCCAAAGUUCGCCUCGAAGCACGCUCAACAAUCAAGGUGGCUUGUCCAGCAGACCUCUUUUAUAAAAAGCGUGCUCGGCGGCCCGCGACGAGGCCUGGAAGGGAGUUAAAUAUCCUGCCGGCAGUGGCGACCCCCGGCAAAGUAUCGUAGGAAAGAGGGGAAGAGGUGAUAGAGGAAAGGCAGCGCUACUCUCCCAAAGGGAGUACGGAGUAUAUUACAAAUAGCAAAGAUUAUGUUCAAAUUAUAGAUUAUAAUAAGAAAAGGCACGGAGGCUACUCCCGACGUGGACCUUGCACCCUUUUAACCUUGUCUAUCUUGUCGACGAUAGGCAUGACCUUCUGUUCAAAGACCUUGGGGUCCACUUCCUUCGGCACACGUACCAUGGAGAGAUUCAAAUCAGGGUUCUUGUACGCCAGCUUGGUAAGCACUUUGAGGAGGACGUUCCGGCAUAGCCGCCGAGCUUCGCCCGCCAACCGCGUCAUCUCUUCGGCCUAGAGACGCUUUAGGGCGUCGGUCAUACUCUCGAAGAACAAGGGCAAGUUGACGCUCAGAGGAGCCUCCGGAGAAGGAGCAUAGCCGGGGCCUUCGAGAUCCAUGGUGGCCAGCUGGUCGGUGAUGGGAGACGCGCCGUUAACAAGGUGCCCCGUCCACAACGUGACGACCUUCACGUAGUUGCCAUGGUCGGCGGAGGCGGCGUCAAGCUGUUCCACCAAGACCUGGAGCUUCCGAGCCAGAUCCUCCUCCUCGGGCACUGCCUCCUUGAGUUCCUCCUCCACAGAGGUCAACUUGGCCCGCAGGGCAUCCAGAGAGGCGUUGGCACCACGGAGCUGGUGGCCUUGUCGGCUGCAGCAGCCUCAACCUCCUCCAAGUUGGCGAGGGCCUUGUCCCUCGUAGAAGAAAGCGUGGAUACCUUGUUGUGGAGGCCAUUGAGCUCUUCCUCGAGCUCUUUCACCAUCCCGGUAAGCCCAUCCUUGGCGACUUGGGAAACAAACGCUCGGUCGGUGCUCUCCUGAAGCUUGCCGGCAAAUACCGAGGCCUGGGCAUCGAGGUCGCUCUUAAACUGGUCCGUCAGCUCCUGAGUACGAUGCGCCACCAGUUUCUCGACCUCCUCGCCCUUGGCGUGGAGCCUCUCGUUGAGCGCCUGCUCCCGGGCGGCGAGCUCCUUCUUAUGAUCUUCCAGGCCGAUUCGUAUGUUGGUGAGGCGAGCCUCCUCGACUAUGUUUCGGCGCCGAUCCUCUUUCUCCUCCUUCCGGUCGUCGUCCGACCAAAGGCUCAGCGCUUGAUCCUCGGCCUGCAGCUCCUUGUAGGCCUCGUCAAAUGAGCUCGCGUUUCUUUAAAAUGCUUCUCAAAUGCCUCCUCCUCCGCCUGGAUGACCGCCUCCCGGGAGUCCAGCUUUUCACUCCUGACGUGGUACAAGGCUUGGAGCUGGCUGACGUGGUCUCUCAUGGAGAGGAAGAGCUGCUCCUCGCUGAGUUUUCCGUCACCAGCCUCCAGCCCCGCCGGGGCGUCACAACAUACGCCGGCAGAGACCUCCGCGUCGAUGUUCUCCCCUUCCACCAAGGCCCUCGAUCGCUGCACCCGCGUUGGUACACGAACGUCCCCUCGCCGGCGCGAAGGUACGCACUGUCGGGGGCGUCCUCGGGACUGGGGGGCUGAUCGCGGCCUACCUCACUGCUGGUGAGGUGGGGUUCUUCACCCUUGGUGGUCUCCCGCCCCCCAGCUGGCGAAGGAUCGUCGUCACGUGCCCCCGAGGCCUCGUCAGGAUCCGGGGUGUCCCACUCCUUCUCCCGCUCCUCGUGGCCGGCCUCGCGGCCAUGGCAUCGGAGGCCUCAACCGCCGCUCCACGAGCGACCUCUGUAACCACAGCAUCGGCGUCCAUCUCCUCCACGGGGGAGGAAUCGGAGGGGCAGGAAAAGGGGAGGAAUGAACGAAAUCAGAUAAAGCAAUGAAGAAGAAAAUUCAAGACUCAACUUACGAAUGCUUCCGGACAAACGCUCACCGUCCCCCUGCCGGUGGAUGGUAGCUGACUCCUCCCCGGCAACGUCCGUUGCCGGGGACUCGUCCUCAAGCACCACGAGCUCAAGCGAUGCUCGCCGAGGGCUUUGCCGGGGGCUGGGCACAAGAGUGGCCGCAUGCGUCGACGGAGCUUCCGGAGCGUCCGCCAAGGGAUUGUCGCUGCUUGGCUCCAUGGCGUCCGCAGGGGGGCCCUCGCCAGCCGACGCGUCGGUGUCCACCAAGGGAUCGCCCUCGGCCGCGCACUUGGGUCUUGCCGGAGGCACCCCUCCAGUCGAGGUGUCCGCUCCCACCGACGGCUCGUCGACAACAAACACCCUAGCCCUCUUCGCCAACCUUUGGGCCAGCGUCUCGUUGUCCCUGCGAACAAGCGACGACACCAAGUCAGCAAGAAUACCAAGCAAGCAAGAAUGAGGGGAGGGGUCAGUGGAUCGAACUCUUACUCAUCCUCCUCCUCCUACGAGCUCAGGAUCGAGAUAUCAUAAUCCACCUCCGCCACCGCGUCCGCUGAAGGGUACACCACCCUCGGACGUUUGACGGGCGCGGCAGGUGGACCUUGCCGGAUCGGGAUAUUGGAGCUGACGCGAUGGAGCACUCGCUUGGGCUUUCCACGCGCCAAGCACUCCUCUGUCUCCUCCUCCCUCUCUUGCAUCCCGGCGGCUGACGUCCGUUCUUCUUGACGGGCCCCGACAGCCGAACCACCAGAACCCCUGGCGAGCUCCAAUUGUGGUGGCGCCUCUCCGUCAGCCGCUUCCCUGCCAGGGGAGCCCGCGCGCCCAGCCCCAAGGGAGAGGGUAUGCUCCUCCAUCCGGCGGGCGAUGUGCGCCUCCUCUGCGGUGGUGGUGUCGUGGACGAGGCCUUUUUCUUCCCGGAUGGGGGCCUCUGACAAUCCAUCGAAGAAGGACGAGACCACCUCAGUCGCGGGCUCCAGCCAGGUCGCGACCACACCGUGGGCGUCACAAUCCGGCAUCAUCGCCGUGAGGUUGCUCAAGGCCGAGCUGUUGCAUAGCGGGAGGACCCCAUGCGAUAGCCGGAUCUUCAGCUCAAAGCUGAACAACUUCUGGCAGAAGUACCCGAGCUCCAUGACCGUUAGAUUUUUGUCCACACCCGGACGCAACCGCAUGACAUCUGCCGUAUUCGCAAAGGCCGAAGCCGGCCUCCCUCCCAUGUGCUGGAGGGGGGCGAUGCGCCUGCGGAGGAAGUCAGCAGCCACCAUCUCCAUCGUCAACCCCGCGGCCCUCAGGCGCAGGAUCGUGGUGGUGGCGAUGGACAGCUUAUCAUCGUCAGGGGACAGAUUGCUCCAGCCCUCUCCCCGGGACCCGAUCCUGGAGGUCCUAGGCUCGCAAAAGGGCGGGUAUCCCUCGUGACGAAUCCAACACAACUUCCCCCGCCACUCGUCCCACUUCUCGCGAAGGGUACCUCCCAGGUACGCCUCCUUGGUCCCGGCCUUUGGGACCCAGGUGAUGGAGCCCAAGAGGGCCUCCUCGCCCUGGACGCGAGGAGGGAAGUAGUGGCAGAAGAGGGCUGUGUUGGGGUGAUCCCAACGAAGUUCUCAUAAAGGUGCGCGAAGAUAGACAUGCACGUCACUGCAUUUGGCGUAAAGUCGAGGAGGCGGAAGCCGUAAGUAUGCAUGUGGUCGAGGAAGAACUCCGAGAAUGGCGGGCAAAGCCCGCAAAAGAAGUAAUCGAAGAAGAAGGGAAACUGGUCCGGACCCCCACUUCCCAUCCCAGGGAGCACCUCCGUGGCCGGAUGCACCUUCGUCUCGGCCGACAGCAUGAUCUGAUAGUGGCUCUUCAAGGUGGCCAUAUCCAGGCCUUUGGGGAAGACAGCGUGCUUCUUCCGCAACCUCGCCAACUCUUUCUCCGAAGUAGCGCCCUUUCCCUCGGAGGUCUUCGGAGCCAUGGCGACGGCGGGAGAUGGACGCUGUCGCACGAGGCAGAACCGCAGGGAGGAAGGGGAGGCGUGAGGAAGCUCCAGCAGAAGGUGGCGACGACGGCGGCGUUUGAGAUUGGAAAAGGACCGGGAACAGUGGGCUAGGAGAGCUCGUGUUUCCCCUUCUUAUGGGGACGCGGGCCGACCCUUUGCCUGCUCCACCAACGGUUCCCCACGCUCGCGGCCGCCUUGGUCACUACGCACACAACUCCCCACUCCGCACGAUCAAUGCGCGGCAUGGGGAAAGGCAACCGCCAAUAGAUCCAGCCGCAAGAGCCCGUACACCUCUUUGGGCCUGGCCCAACAACGCUCUGCACGCGUGUGUGGCCCAGGCCUAGGGGCUCUUGUCGGUGCACUAAAUUCUGGGGUCUCUAGUGCCCCAGACUUGUGCACGGGCACAAAGAGCCCCUAACGGCACGGCACGGCGGAAUCCCGACAAGACUCGCCCCCAAGGCAUCCAAGGCCCCGACAAGCCUGUCUUGCCAGGAAGACACCCAAGGCCACGUCCUAGCACAAGGCCCCGGCGAGGCCCCCUCUUCGGGAAGACAGCCAAAACCCUCGACAAGCUUCCUUGCCGGGACGAAGCACCAAGGCCCCGACAAACACCCUUGCCGGGAUGACGUGGCAGCGCACCAGAGGGCGACCGCCCUUGCCACAGUACCACCGCUCCCCCGUGUUACAAUGCAUUCCGCAUGCGCUAGCGGGGCAUCUAGGUGUCGAAACACCUGGACACAUGUCUUCACCAACACUUAGCUGACAUGACAAGACGCGCAUUUAAUGCACCUGACAGCGGUAGAUGGAUAAGCGCCACUGUAGGUUCACUGUAACAUCUCGUGAACUUACCAUUGAGCAAUGUAGGUGACCCCUUUGCCUAUAAAAGGAGGCCCUUAGCUCAUUCACAAGGGUUAGACUUUUUGGAGAUUGGCCAAGAAGAGGAUUAUCAUCGCUGUAAAUGAACAACAAAAGAACGGUUAAUACAAUCAAACGAGCAUGACGUAGGGUUUUACGCUUAAGUGGCCCGAACCUAGGUAAAAAGCUUGUCGGGUGUCGAUCGUUUGGUCUGCUCUUGACGCUGUUUUUCCUCGCCCUACGAUCACAAGGGUAUCGGUUGAUCCCCAUAUGUGUGGACCUAGCAUCACCGGCACCAGGCCCAUGUAAUUUCGAAAUACCAUAGUAUAGGCUGUUUUUAGAGUCUGUAUGUGUGGGGAAACCGAGUUUAGGGCUGUUUUUGGACCCCUCCUCCAAGGGUCACGAAAUUGCCUCCCUAUUCCCUCAUAUAUACAACCCUUAGGGCACCGUUUAGACUUGGGUUUUGUUUAGAUUACAAGUUCGCCAUAGCUGCAACUUCGCAUUCUUCGUUCUUUUUCCACGACCAGACAAAGGCGUUAUAGAACCCCACCUUCAUCAAUAAAGCUUUCCUCUUAUAUUCACAGUAUCUUGAUUGCAAUCUUUGUUUCUUGCUUGCUCUUCGUUUGUGUGCAGGAAACAGACCUUCGUGGUCAGGUUGAUCGUGCUCCGGCGUGAUCAAUAACCUCUUGGAGUUGGUUUAGCGAUUGCUAAGGUGCAAGGUCCUCACACGUUCGUAGUCGGAUCGUUAAAGUCUACUCCACCAAAAUGAUACCCACGAUCUCAUCGAAAGACAGGGACAACCUCGCCUCUAUCAAGUGGUAUCAGAUUUCCAGGUUGCUCGGUGAGAUUUUACCAGUUUUUUCGUAGUUGGAUCGCAUCUGUUCUUCAUACCUAUAGUCCACGAAAAAGCCAUAAAAAUUAGGGUUAGAUCAUCAUAUCCGAACCAAUAUGAGCCUUUGCAUAGUCUUUUCAGUAGUUUGCUUUGUUGAAUUUGCGGUUACAUCGUCGUGUCGAGUUGCUUGUCUUAGUGUCUAGUCGUUUAGAGUUUCGAGUUCUAUUCAUAGGUUGUCACGCUGCCGCCACACCGUCUUUCAUCAUUGCCAUAUACCACCUCCACGCUACCAUCAUCGCUGCUGCCAUAUACCACAACCACUCCACCAUUAUACUUGUUGCCAAAUACCACCACCAUAUAUCCACCACAAUCCUAGUGUGCGUCCUUUCCGCCUUAGGUUAAUUUCGAGAUACUUUUGCUUUCGGUUUCGCGUUUCCUUACCUGAGUAGGUUUAAAAAAAGAGUCUGGCACGCUUUCCAGAGCACUUUUUAGGCCAAAAUUUCGAGGGGUGAAAAAAAUUCCCUAUCAUUUUGUUAGUCUUUUUAGAGAGUUUUGAGACACUCGCCAUCAUAGUGAUUUUUGUUGCAAUUUUUGGUCGUCGCAGCCCCGAAUUGCUCUAGGAAAAAAAUUGUCAAUUUUUUUUCGUGCCUAUCCUGUUUUUGGUCCUUCGGAAGAGAUUUGAGACACUCGCUAUUAUAGUGAUUUUCUGGAGAAAAAAAGCGCAAAAAAAGAGUGCAAAAAUAAAAUAAAAAUGAGAGUGGCUCUUCCCUUGAUUAUGUGUCGUCGUGACUUUGUUGGUGUUCUAGGCUCGCGUCUCUAGUAUGGUCUAGCCUAGGACCAUCACGGUACCGUCGUUGAGCGUCUUUUCAACUUUGCUUCUCUGAACUGAUUAUUGCUGACCCUUCUUGCUGCCAUAUUAUAAGCGUUCCCAGCUCCACAUACAUCUACAUCAUGUGUUUGACACCACCUGGCAAUCGCUCUAUCCACGCUUUGAGAGUCUUGACUACACCGGUUGCCGAUCACCACCUGCUACCGGGUAAGAAUUGGUAAGAAAUUGAGAUUUGCCUGACGGAUUUGUGACACACCACCACCACCCCCACUUCCUAGUAGUGUGUAGGUUCAUUAUCUUCUGUGUUCCUAUUGAUGCUAACCAUGCCAGGAUCACACGAUGAGAAGAUCGACUGGGAGAACCUGACCAACCGGGAGCUCCAUGAUAAAUUUCAGCAAAUGAUGUGUGACCAGGUACAGGAUUUCGUGACCACCUUUGGAGAGGCCAUGGACAAGCUCGAAGGUAUGGAUAAGAAAUUCGACACCAAGAUGAACGCCAAGUUCAAUGAGGUUCUUGCCCGUUUACCACCACCAGCUGUAGAUUAUAUCCCUCUUCAACCACAACAACAACAACGUCUACGAGGACGACGCGUGCCUGUCAACCAAGUGUAGAAUUUUGGUGUUGCUGCUCCUACUGCUGCUACUCCUCCUCCUGCUACUACCGAGGUUUAUGUGGCUGAGUAGAAUGAGGAUUAUGAUGAUGAUUAUGAUGGUGAUUACGAUGAUGAUGCAGAGGUUGCUCCAGUUCAGCACGAGGAACAACAACCACCACGACAAGCCACCGGUCAUCCACAUGGAUACAAUUGCAAUGGUAGGGAUGCACCACACCCUCAGGUACGGGCUCAUGACCAUCUCCCUAAACUUAAAUUGAAUAUUCCUACUUUCGAUGGUCGAUAUGUUACUGAUAUAUAUCUUACUUGGGAGUUAGAAAUAGAGCAACGUUUUACAUGCCGGAAAUUCCUGAAGAUAGACGUGUUGCUGCUACUGUUUGUUCUUUCAUUAGUUUUGCUUGUGUUUGGUGGUCCGAAUAUUGUCGAAUACAUCAUGCUAAUAUUUCAACUACUUGGGCUUAUAUGAAAACUUCUAUGCGUACUCGUUGGGUUCCACCAUAUUAUCAACAUGAAUUACUUCAAAACUUGUAGCGUUUAAGACAAGGAAAAAAGUCUGUAGAAGAAUAUUAUCAGGAAUUACAAACUAGAAUGAUUAGAUGUGGUAUUGUUGAGGACAAUGAAGCUAUGCUUCCACAUUUUAUGGGUGGAUUAAAUAGAGAUAUUCAGACUAUUCUAGAAUAUAAGGAUUAUAACACUAUCACUCGUUUAUUCCAUCUUGCUUGCAAAGCUGAACAUGAAGUGCAGGAUCGAAAGGCAUUGGCGAGAACUAAUUUUUCUGCAUGUCACACUUUGUCAUGGAUGCCACGAAUCACAUCUACUUCCACACGUCCUCCUGCAUCAGGACCGCGAACUUCAGCCGCCAAUUCCACCAGAGAUAUCAGGAAACGGGCCCCUGCACCACCCUUUGCCAAGAGCACACCUUCCGGGCCCGCACAGAGCUCUUCUUCAUCCAUGGUAUCCACGGGCCAAACACAUGAGGUUAUCUCACGUCGUUGCAAGGGUGGAGGUCAUUAUGCGAGAGAGUGCCCAUCCAAGCGUGUGAUGAUUAUUACUGAGGAUGGCAGAUAUGACUCCGCUAGUGACUAUGAUGAGGAGACUCUGGCUCUUAUUGCAAGUGAAUAAUAGGUGUAGAUGAUACUGAACAAAAGACACACUACAUGGCUGUUGAUUACGCUGACAGGUAUGAAAGCUUAGUUGCUCAACGUGUUUUAAGUGUGCAGGUAACACAGGGUGAGCAAAAUCAGAGGCACAACUUGUUCCAUACAAAGGGAGUUGUAAAGGAACGUUCUGUUCGCGUAAUCAUCUAUGGAGGGAGUUGCAACAACUUAGCUAGCAUGGAGAUGGUGGAGAAGCCGUCUCUCGCCACCAAACCACAUCCUUGUCCUUAUUAUAUCCAGUGGUUCAACAACUGUGGCAAGGUUAAGGAACACGUAUUGUUCGUGUGCAUUCUAGCAUUGCUACAUAUUCUGAUUUUGUUGAUUGUGAUGUGGUACCCAUGCAAGCAUGCUCUGUUUUACUUGGUAGACCAAGGCAAUUUGAUAAAAAAUCUGUACACCAUGGUAAAACAAAUCAGUAUACUCUUAUUUAUAAGGAUCAAAAUAUAACUUUGCUUCCUAUCUCUCCUGAACAAAUUAUGAAAGAUGACAUUGCUAGAGCUAGUAAAGCAAAACAUGACCUACAUAAGAGUGAAAAUCAGAUUGUAGCAAAGGAAUUUGAGAAACACAAUAAGCCUAAUCAAUCAUCAUCUAGUGUUGCAUCUGAAAUAAAACUAAAGAGUAGUUGUUUACUUGCCACUAAAUCUGAUAUUGCUGAUUUGGAUAUUACUACUUCUAUUUGCUAUGCUUUCGUAUGCAAAGAGGUAUUAUUUUCAUUCGAGGACAUGCCACCCUCUUUGCCUCGUGCUGUCAUUAACAUUUUGCAGGAGUUCACUGACAUCUUUCCACAAGACGUGCCACCAGGGUUACCACCUAUUAGAGGGGUUGAGCAUCAGAUUGACUUAAUUCCCGGUGCAUUGCUACCCAACCGUGCACCAUACCGUACCAAUCCAGAGAAGACGAAGGAGAUAAUGCGUCAAGUACAAGAGCUGCUCGGCAAAGGUUAUAUACGUGAAUCUCUUAGUCCUUGUGUUGUUCCUAUUAUUCUAGUGCCAAAAAAGGAUGGUACAUCGCGUAUGUGUGUUGAUUGUAGAGGCAUUAAUAAUAUUAUUAUUCAUUAUCGUCAUCCUAUUCCUAGGUAUAUGAUAUGCUUGAUGAAUUAAGUGGCUCUACAAUUUUCUCCAAAGUUGAUUUGCGUAAUGGAUACCAUCAAAUUCGCAUGAAAUUGGGAGUUGAAUGGAAAACAACAUUUAAAACUAAGUUUGGAUUAUAUGAGUGGUUAGUUAUGCCUUUUGGAUUGACUAAUGCACCUAAAACUUUCAUGAGAUUAAUGAAUGAGGUUUUAUGUGCUUUCAUUCUACGAUUUGUGGUAGUCUACUUUGAUGAUAUACUGAUUUAUAGUAGUUCUUUUGAGGAACAUUUGGAUCAAUUGUGUGCUGUUUUUAUUGCUGUACAUGAUGCACGUUUGUUUGAUAACCUUGGGAAGUGCACCUUUUGCACAGACCGAGUAUCUUUUCCUUGCUAUGUUGUUACUCCACAGGGAAUUGAAGUUGAUAAAGCCAAGAUUAAAGCUAUUGAGAGUUGGCCGCAGCCCAAAACGGUCACACAAGUGAGGAGUUUCCUUGGACUCGCCGGGUUUUAUAGGCGUUUUGUGAGAGAUUUCAGCACCAUUGCUGCACCUCUCAAGGAGCUUACAAAGAAGGAUGUGCCUUAUUCUUGGGGUACCGCACAGGAAGAAGCCUUCACGGUUUUGAAAGAUAAGUUAACACAUGCUCCUGUACUCCUACUUCCUGAUUUUAAUAAGACUUUCGAGCUUGAAUGUGAUGCUAGUGGAAUUGGAUUAGGAGGUGUGUUAUUACAAGAUGGUAAACUUGUUGCAUAGUUUUUUGAAAAAUUAAGUGGGCCUAGUCUGAAUUAUUCUACUUAUGAUAAUGAAUUAUAUGCUCUUGUUCGGACUUUUGAAACAUGGCAACAUUAUUUGUGGCCCAAAGAAUUUGGCAUACAUUCAUCAUGAAUCUUUGAAACAUAUUAAAAGUCAAGCAAAACUGAACCGUACACAUACUAAAUGGGUUAAAUUCAUUGAGACUUUCCCAUAUGUCAUUAAACACAAGAAGGGUAAAGAAAUUGUUAUUGCUGAUGCUUUGUCUCGUCGUUAUACAAUUUUUUCACAACUUGACUUUAAAAUAUUUGGUUUGGAGACCAUCAAAGAUCAAUAUGUGCAUGAUGCCGAUUUCAAAGAUGUGUUGGAGAAUUGAAAAGAAGGGAGAACAUGGAACAAGUUCAUCAUUAAUGAUGGAUUUGUGUUUCGUGCUAACAAGCUAUGCAUUUCAGCUAGCUCCGUUCGUAUUUUGUUGUUACAGGAGGCGCAUGGAGGAGGAUUGAUGGGACCCUUUGGCGUAAAGAAGACGAAUGACGUACUUGCUACACAUUUCUUUUGGCCAAUGAUGCAACGGGAUGUUGAGCGUUUUGUUGCUCGCUGCACGACAUGCCAAAAAGCUAAGUCACGACUCAAUCCUCAUGCUUUAUAUAUGCCUUUGCCUGUACCUAGUGUUCCUUGGGAGGAUAUAUCUAUGGACUUUGUUUUAGGUUUACCUUGAACAAAGAAGGGGAGGGAUAGCAUAAUUGUUGUCAUGGACAGAUUUUCAAAAAUGGCACACUUUAUACCAUGUCAUAAAAGUGAUGAUGCUGCUAAUGUGGCUGAUUUGUUCUUUCGUGAAAUUAUUCGCUUGCAUGGUGUGCCAAAUACGAUUGUUUCAGACCGUGAUGCUAAAUUUCUUAGCCAUUUUUGGCAAUGUUUAUGGGCUAAUUUGGGGACAAAAUUGCUUUUUAGUACUACAUGUCACCCCCAAACUGAUGGACAAACUGAAGUAGUCAAUAGAUCUUUGUCUACUAUGCUUAGGGCUGUUUUGAAGAACAAUCUAAAACUGUGGGAAGAAUGCUUGCCUCAUAUUGAAUUUGCUUAUAAUCAUUCGAUGCAUUCUACUACAAAGAUGUGUCCUUUCGAAGUUGUGUAUGGUUUUCUACCUCAUGCACCUAUUGAUUUGUUACCUCUUCCAUCUUUGGAGAAGGUUAAUUUUGGUGCUAAAGAACGUGCUGAUUUGAUAUUAAAGAUGCAUGAGUUAACUACGGAAAACAUUGAGUGCAUGAAUGCUAAAUAUAAACUUGCUGGAGAUAAGGAUAGAAAACAUGUUGUCUUUGCACCUGGAGAUCUUGUUUGGUUACAUUUGUGUAAGGACAUGUUUCCUGAUUUGCGCAAGUCAAAGUUAAUGCCGCGUGUUGAUGGUCCUUUCAAAGUGUUAGAGAAAAUAAAUGAUAAUGCAUAUAGACAUCAGCUGCCUGCAGAUUUUGGGGUUAAUCCCACUUUUAACAUUGCAGAUUUGAAGCCAUAUUUUGGUGAGGAACAUGAGCUUUCGUCGAGGAUGACUUCAGUUCAAGAAGGGGAGGAUGAUGAGGACAUCAACACCAUUGUUACACCCACAACCCUAGAUGCUAUACAUACAGGACCACUUACUAGAGCUCGCGCACGCCAAUUGAAUUAUCAGGAACUUUCGUUUCUUGGAAAUACGUCUAAUGUUCAUGAACAUAUGAUGCUGCCUAAGUUAGAUACUUUUGUUGUACUUAUGAAUGAACGACCUAGCAUGGACAAGAAGGAUAUCCGUUGGAGCGGGAUCAAGCAUGGAGAAGAAGGUGCAUGCGCGGGAGAGAACAAUGGAGCUCCCACUUGUGAUUUUCGUACUUUAAAGCCACCAUAAGGAGAGCAUGAAGGCUUUGGAUGAAAUAUUCAAGACGCCACUUUAUAAAUUUCGUCCAUAGGCUAUUAUAGGUGUUGCACCACCUUAUUUUUGGGCCACACCCAUGUAAUUUCGAAAUACGAUAGUAUAACCUGUUUUAGAGUCUGUAUAUGUGGGGAAACCGAGUUUAGGGGUGUUUAUGGACCCCUCCUCCAAGGGUCAUGAAAUUGCCUCCCUAUUCCCACAUAUAUACAACCCUUAGGGAACCGUUUAGACUUGGGUUCUGUUUAGAUUACAAGUUCGCCAUAGCUGCAACUUCGCGUUCUUCGUUUGUGUUCCACGACCAGACAAAGGCGUCACAGAACCCCACCUUCAUUUAUAAAGCUUUCCUCUUAUAUUCGCAAUAUCUUGAUUGCAAUCUUGGUUUCUUGCUUGUUCUUCAUUUGCGUGCAGGAAACAUACCUUCAUGGUCAGGUUGAUCGUGCUCCGGCGUGAUCAAAAACCUCUCGGAGUUGGUUUACCGAUUGCUAAGGCGCGACGUCCUCACGCAUUCGUAGUCGGGUCGUCAAAGUAUACUCCACCAAAACGAUAUCCACGAUCUCAUCGAAAGACAGGGACAACCUCGCCUCUAUCAGAAGGCACCUUAGGACAACACCAUAUCCUCACACAAGUCAUAUCAAUAACAUCAUAUCACAAUUAACCCAUAGGAAAAAACGGAUCUACUCAAACAUCAUAAGAUAACCACAUAUCAUUGGGAAAUAGUACGUAGUGUUGAGCACCAUGUUUAAGUAGAGAGUUAUAGUGGGAAAAAGGUGUUACACUGCUGCAUAUAAGGGGAGAGAGUUGGCAUUGAUGGCGACAAGAUUGUUGAUGUAGAUCGCCAUGAUGCUCCUUGCCCCGGCGGCAGUCCGGUGCCACUAGGAGAGAGAGGGGGGGAGCCCCCUCCAUCUUCUUCUUCCUUGCCCCCACCCCGUAGAUGGGAGGAGAGUUCCCCCUCUGGUCCGUGGCCUCCAUGGCGGUGGAGGGGAAGGAACCCCUCCGAGAUUGGACCCCCCUCUCUGUUCUCUUUUAUUUCACGUUCGUGUUUCUAGCCCUUCACGGUUUCUUAAAUUCUCAGAGAUCCGUAACUCCGAUCGGGUUGAAGUUUUGAGGGGAUUUUUAUCCAGAAAUUAGCUUUCUUGUGGCCGAGGAAGAUCCCCAGCCAACUUAAGGGGCGCGCACUGGACACCACCCUGUGCCAGGGGGACCACACGCGCCCUGGUUUCUAGUGGAGGUUGCGGGCCUCCAUUUGCGUUGAUUCUGCCUCCCAAAAAUCAAAUAUAUACCAAAAUAAUUCUCCGUACAUUUUUAUCUGUUGGAAAUAUGCCCUAGAGGCAAUAAUAAAUUAGUUAUUAUUAUAUUUCUUAGUUCAUGAUAAUCGUUUAUUAUCCAUGCUAUAAUUGUAUUGAUUGGAAACACAAUACUUGUGUGGAUACAUAGACAAAACACUGUCCCUAGUAAGCCUCUAGUUGACUAGCUCGUUGAUCAAAGAUGGUCAAGGUUUCCUGGCCAUAGGCAAGUGUUGUCACUUGAUAACGGGAUCACAUCAUUAGGAGAAUCAUGUGAUGGACUAGACCCAAACUAAUAAGACGUAGCAUGUUGAUCGUGUCAUUUUGUUGCUACUGUUUUCUGCGUGUCAAGUAUUUGUUCCUAUGACCAUGAGAUCAUAUAACUCACUAACACCGGAGGAAUGCUUUGUGUGUAUCAAACGUCGCAACGUAACUGGGUGACUAUAAAGAUGCUCUACAGGUAUCUCCGAAGGUGUUAGUUGAGUUAGUAUGGAUCGAGACUGGGAUUUGUCACUCCGUGUGACGGAGAGGUAUCUCGGGGCCCACUCGGUAAUACAACAUCACACACAAGCCUUGCAAGCAAUGUGACUUAGUGUAAGUUGCGGGAUCUUGUAUUACGGAACGAGUAAAGAGACUUGCCGGUAAACGAGAUUGAAAUAGGUAUGCGGAUACUGACGAUCGAAUCUCGGGCAAGUAACAUACCGAAGGACAAAGGGAAUGACAUACUGGAUUAUAUGAAUCCUUGGCACUGAGGUUCAAACGAUAAGAUCUUCGUAGAAUAUGUAGGAUCCAAUAUGGGCAUCCAGGUCCCGCUAUUGGAUAUUGACCGAGGAGUCACUCGGGUCAUGUCUACAUAGUUCUCGAACCCGCAGGGUCUGCACACUUAAGGUUCGACGUUGUUUUAUGCGUAUUUGAGUUAUAUGGUUGGUUACCGAAUGUUGUUCGGAGUCCCGGAUGAGAUCAAGGACGUCACGAGGGUUCCCGGAAUGGUCCGGAAACGAAGAUUGAUAUAUAGGAUGACCUCAUUUGGUUACCGGAAGGUUUUCGUGCAUUACCGGAAAAGUUUCGGGCUCAUCGGUAGUGUACCGGGAGUGCCGGGAGGGGUGCCGGGGACCAUCGGGAGGGGUGUCACGCCCCAAGGGGUCUCAUGGGCUAUGGGAAGAGAUAAACCAGCCCCUAGUGGGCUGGAAUAAGUUCCCACUAAGGCCCAUAAGGUUUGAGAAGGAAAAAACACAAGGUGGAAAGAGUUUCCAAGUGGGAAGGUGGAAUCCUACUCCAAGUAGGAUUGGAGUAGGACUCCUCCACCUCCAAUUUCGGCCAAACCUUUAGGUUUUGAGGCUGCCUCCUCCCCUCCCUCCCACCUAUAUAUACGGAGGUUUUAGGGCUGAUUUGAGACAACUUUUCCACGGCAGCCCGACCACAUACCUCCACGGUUUUUCCUCUAGAUCGCGUUUCUGCGGAGCUCGGGCGGAGCCCUGCUGAGACAAGGUCAUCACCAACCUCCGGAGCGCCGUCACGCUGCCGGAGAACUCUUCUACCUCUCCGUCUCUCUUGCUGGAUCAAGAAGGCCGAGAUCAUCGUCGAGCUGUACGUGUGCUGAACGCGGAGGUGCCGUCCGUUCGGUACUAGAUCGUGGGACUGAUCGCGGGAUUGUUCGCGGGGAGGAUCGAGGGACGUGAGGACGUUCCACUACAUCAACCGCGUUCUCUAACGCUUCUGCUGUAUGGUCUACAAGGGUACGUAGAUCACUCAUCCCCUCUCGUAGAUGGGCAUCACCAUGAUAGGUCUUCGUGCGCGUAGGAAAUUUUUUGUUUCCCAUGCGACGUUCCCCAACAUUAUCACGGUUGGACUUUGUUUGAUAUGGACAUUCUGCGAAACAAAAAACAUGCAACAAAUAGGAACUGAUGUUUAGCACUGGAUCAAUAUGUUAGUCCAGUAUCUCAUAUAAAAUGUUGUGAAAAUAUGUAAAAGUUGAAUAAUAUUGGCAUGGAACAAUAAAAAAUUAUAGAUACGAUGGAGACGUAUCACCAGGCGAUAGUUCUUCCGCACAAAGAACACGGAAGAAAUAGCUCAGCUUUUCGAGUACAAGCCAUUCAUCCUUAGGAAUAAAGCCACGCAACAUCACUGACAUUACCCUCUCAAACCAUAUGUGCCAAUCAUGACUCUUGAGACCAAAUAUUUUAAUUUUUUCAAGACACACUCCCCUCUUUAGAUUCGUUGCAUACCCGCCGGGGAACAUCUACAUCAUUUUGACCCACGAGAUAAUUUCCCUCAUAGAUCCCCUUUUUAGAUUGAACCAGGCCUUUGGCUUCGACCAAUUCUGCUUUCCUUUCAACUGUUGCAUGUUUUGUAAUGGUCUAUCACAUAGAGUUUGUUAAUCGACUCUAUCCUUAGGAUUAUCCUUUGACUUCCCCUCUAUGCCGAACAAUAUACCAAAAUUGGCCUCUCCGAUAUUCUUUUUAGUGUGCCUCAUGUCGAUGUUGUGUGGAAGAAUAAGGUCUUUGAAGUAAGGCAUAUCCCACAAGCGUAUCUUGUGAGUCCAAGCGUGUUCCGAAUUAUACCCCUUGAAAUACCGUGGACGCUCUGGAUCAGGCUCAAGAGCGUUUAAAUUAUCCAAGAUCUGUUGGCCUGUCAACGCAGGUGGUGCCUAGUUUUUGAGAACUUUACCUUUGAUAAAGUUCUUCUUGUGUUUUCUAAAUUGAUGGCAAGGAUCCAGGAACUAUCUAUGCAAGUCGAAGCAAGAAUACUUCCGACCCGCCUGCAGCCUAUGAAACUGAAGAGUUGCCUUGCAUGUGGGGCAUGGGAACCUUCCAUGCACACACCAGCGAGCGAAUAUCGCAUACGCCAACAAGUCACGCAUCGAGUACAUGUACCACACAUGCAUUCGACAAUUUUCUUUUCUAGCGGCAUCGUAUGUCUUGAACCCAUUUUCCCAAGCUUCUUGCAGUUCAUCCUUAAGCGGAUGCAUGUACACAUUCAUAUUCUUCCCCACGUAGUUGGGCCCUGGAAUUAUCAAUGUCAGGAAUAUGUUCUUUAUUUGCAUAAUUUGUCCAGGGGGAGAUUGAGUGUAAUGACAAAUACAGGCCAACUACUGUAUUGGGUUUCCAUCAUACCAAAGGGAUUGAACCCAUCCGUGGCGACACAAACUCGAGGAUACCUUGGUUCUACUGCUUUAUCCAGAUGUACUGCGUCGAAGUGCUUCCACGCUUCCGCGUCCGACGUGUGUACCAACAUCUUAUUCUCAUCUGCAUCUAGUUCGGUUCUUUUUCCCAAUUUGUGCCAUGGCAUCUGUCUGGCCGUCUCUUCGACCAUGAAAAGACGUUGAAGUAUUGGUAUGAUUAGCAUAUACCGAAGAACAUCAACUGGGAUUUUGGCCCGCCUCUUCUCACCCAUACCGUUGUCUAACUCAAUAUACCUGGAAGACUUGCAAAUGGGACAAUAGUUCAAGUCUGCAUACUCAAGCCUAAAUAAGGUACAUCCUUUCUCACAUGCCUCUAUAUUCUCAUAGGGCAUCUUAAGUACACAUAGUAUUUUGUCCGACUGGUAUAGGUUUGCACGCAUGACAUGGCCUUUGGGUAGUAAGCGUCCAAAUAGUGUCAUCAUCGCGCGUAGAAUUCUCUACCAAAGUUGAAUUGAACCUUCCAGAGCCAUUACUUGUGCAAUGGCAUCCAGCUGACAAAGCUCAGUGUGCUCAUGGAGAGGACGUUUUGAAGACUCCAACAUUUCAUAGAAGGCCUUUGCAGAUUCCUCCAUCUCAUCAUCCGAAUCCCGAGCAUCAUCAAAGUCUUGCACCAUGUAUUCAAUCCCGGUACCAUGCUCGUCGGUGCAACGACGAACCACCUCAGCUCUGGUACGUUGGGAAAACUCGCCAUGAAAUGUCCACACCCUAUAAUUAGACGUAAAAUCCCUCUUCUGUAGGUGUUUACCCAUUUCAUCCUCUUUCAUAUUUUAAAGUAGUCGCAUCGAGGACAUGGGCACGAGGUUUUUCUCUGGCCAUUUGCAAAUGCGGCUUUCACAAUCCCCUUGGUUUUUGUUAACCAUUCUUUGGUCAUCUCUUUCUGACUAGUGUGAACAGUGUACAUCCAUGCACGAUCACUCAUCUUGCCAAGCUACAAAACACACAAGAAAUAUAUACAAUUCAGCACAUAUAUUCAUUAGUUAGUCAAGUUUGUUAGUUUUAUUACGUCCAUGCAACCUACACGCUAAUAGGUAAAGAUAGGUCCUAGUCCCACCAGAGGAUGUGUAGAUUGUGUUCGUUUUCCCAUGUUAUGUCCCGGAUCCGACGCAAAAUUUCGGCAGCACCUCCCCGUUGUUCUCAUGAUACAUGUCUCAGCAAAAAAAAGAGAGGACUUGUACCCGGAGAACAACAUGGAGGCACUGACAAAAUUAUGCAUCGGAUCCGGAGCAGAGCAUAUGGGAAAAACAAACCCAAUCUACACAUACUCGGGUUGUCCAUGGAUAACGUUGGACAAUUCAAAAGAAUCACAGUUAUAAAUAUAUACAAAUUCAUGCAUAUUUAUAACUGUAACCCUUUCGAAUGGGGAACACAUACUAGUCACGCAUACUGAUGAUUUAAUCUACCUAUAUCUAGCAAGUUUUAUCGGCAUGAAGACCGGAAUAAAGCAAAUGAAGGGGGAGGAGGAGAUGUCAUUUUUGCUCACCGGCGAACGCAGGGGCGGAGCUCGUCAAAUGCAUGGGGAGGUCGUCGAACACCGGACCCUCGUAGUGUCAAAACAGUUGAACAUUUAAAUCCACCCGAUCAACACGAACAUUCAAUCCCGAUAGAAAAGUCUCUCUGUAUAUAACUACUUUUCCACUUCUAUUUUAUUGCUUUUCUCCUCUAUUUCUUCUUCUUCUUCUUCAUUUUCUUCUCUUCUUCUUCUUAUUUUUCUUCUUCUCUUCUCCUCUUCUUCUUCUGCUUCUUCUCUUCUCCUCUUUUUCUACUACUUCUUCUUCUUCUUCUUCUUUUUCUUCCUUUCUCCUCCUCCUCCUGUUCUUCUUCUUCUUCUNCUUCUUCUUCUUCUUUCUUUCUUUCUUUCUUUCUUUCUUUCUUUCUUUUCCUUUUUCCUCUUCUUCUCCUCUUCUCUCCUUUUCUUCUUCUCUUCUUCUUCUUNNNNNNNNNNNUCUUCUUCUUCUUCCUCCUCCUAUUCUUCUUCUUCUUCUNNNNNNNCUUCUUCUUCUUCCUUGUUUUCUCUUCUUCUUCUUCUUCUUCCUUCUUUUCUCUUCUUCUUUCUUUUCCUUUUUCCUCUUCUUCUCUUUUUCUUCUUCUUCUUUUCUCCUCCUCCUCCUCCUACUCCUCUUCUUCUUCUUCNNNNNNNNNNNNNNNNNNNNNNNNNNNNNNNNNNNNNNNNNNNNNNNNNNNNNNNNNNNNNNNNNNNNNNNNNNNNNNNNNNNNNNNNNNNNNNNNNNNNNNNNNNNNNNNNNNNNNNNNNNNNNNNNNNNNNNNNNNNNNNNNNNNNNNNNNNNCUUCUCCUCUUCUUCUACUUAUUCUUGUUUUUUCAUCUUUAUCUUCGAACUAACCUAGUACUAACCUAGCUGUAACCUAGCACUAAGCUAAAAAAAUAGAUAAAAAACUAACCUAGCUAGGAGGAGGGGAGCGGUGGGGCGCGGGGGCGACGGUGUCCACUAUGGCAAGAGGAGACAUCGAUGGUGUCGGUCGGGAGGAGGAGGAGGCGGGGGGGCAGAGGAGGAGGAUGCGAUGGUGGAGUGGGGGAGNAGGAGGCGGUGGCGGCGGGCAACGGAGGAGGAGGAUGAGGCGGGGAGGUUGUGUUGGGAAGGAGAGUAGGCCGGAGGUGGGGGAGAGUGAGGCGGGUCGGGCCCAACAGAGGGAUAACCCCUCGCUUUGCCAUGUACCUUUCGUCGGGGCGGACAGCAAAGAGGUGGCGGCCAUCAGUUUUUCUUUGACCGAGCCUUAGGUUGAUACUUUGCCGUCUACCUUCUUCUUAGAUGUCGUCAGCCAAUUCUUUGCCGUCAGCUUUUAGAUCCUUUGUCUUCCGCUAGUAGACGACAAAGAAGGGACUGAUGGUAAAACAUAUAUUUACCAUGAGUCUUUUAUUUGCCGUUUACUUUUGAGAAGCUGUCGGCAAAGUUCGUUCGUUGUCGUCCGCUAGCAAACGACAAAGAGUGGACUGAUGGCAAAUUUUGUGUUUCAAGUAGAGAUAGUGGGCCAAACUAAACUGAUGGAUUGAACAGAAAUACAAAGCUGUAUCAAUCAUGCAUAUAAGAAUUUAGAGAUGGCUCAAAUAGUUUUCAUGAAUAAUAUGAUCAUAAACCCAUGAUACAUCGGAUCCCAACAAACACACCACAAAGAAGAUUACAUCGAGUAGAUCACCGCAAGAAUCACGGUGAACUUUGUAUUGAAGAACAUAGAGAGAGAUAGCCAUCUAGGUACUAGCUAUGGACCCGUAGGUUUGUGGUGAACUACUCACACUACUAGGGAAAAGCCUAGCAGUACCGCGUGUUAGGGUAUUUCUCCCUUAGUGGUUUUGGUGAUUGAUGACAAUGCUUUUGCAGACUAAUCAUGUGGUUUAAGCGUGCUAAAUAUGGCACAAAAUGAUUAUAGCUCUUCGAUGGAUAUAAUGAAGAUUAUUAUUUUCCCGCCUUUCAUUUUCCAUGGAAUCGAGUCAUUGCAGAACCAUACUAUUAAGAGGGGGUCCGCAUUGGAAAGGUUUGGGUGGAAUCAACACGUACACUUUCAUUUGCACCCUUGUUCCUUUCCCGCUUCAAUGGAGUUGUUCCAACGUUGCCUUUGUUCUGGUCCUGGAGAAGCCAAGUGGUAGUAUACCGCUCAGAAGCGGUAGUACGGCUUACCUCGUAAGCGGUAGUACCGCUCUCGGGUGGUUCACUGGUGCUACUGCCGCCCCUGAGCGAUAGUAGAUCUAUCCAGUGCUGCGCUCGGUACCAUUGGCGUUGGAGUCUUGACUAUUCGUGUUGGAUUGAGCGAUUUUUGGCCAAUAGUAUAGCGUGGUAGUAUCGCCUGCUAGUAUCGCGCCACUACUGCUCUUUGUUCUGGUCCAAGACCUCUCAGCGAACUCAGGGCAUCAGUAGGGCGAGGUACUAUCGCCUAUAAGCGAUAGUACCGCUCUUGCGAGAGAUGCUACCACUCAGGCGAUACUACCUCUGGUCCUACCGCUGGCCUAUGUUUGUAGAGCUGCUGCACUAUGGGGACCCUGACUCAUAAGCCGAGAUCACCUGUCACACCCUAUUUUCACCAUCACUUCUUUUGUAAUUGAAAAAUCUGAGUUUAUUAAAACUUUUCAAAACUAAUGUUGUGAGUGCCAUGGUUGUCAUUGUAUGCUUGUAUGCUUGGUUGUGUGAUAUCAAAAACAUAUUUCUCAUAACUUAAUUAUUUUCAAACCCUUUUUCUUAAUUCUGGUUAAAUUCAAAACCCUGCUUUGGGUUGCACUACAAGUCUUUGAUGGCAAGAAGUGCUCUUACCCAAAGUUGGUGAUGUGGUUCUAACACCAUUUUAGUUCACCAAAACCAUAAUAAUAAUUAUUAUUUUAUGAAUUAUUUUCCUAUUUUAUUUGCAUGUACAUUUCUCAGGCCAGAAAUGAUAUUACUAUAAGGAAAAAUACUUUUCCGCCUUAAAAAAAUCUGAGGAAAUUUGGAGAUACUCAGAAGGACAUAUAUUUUCAAUACAUAAGAUUUUCAACCCCUAUUUAUAUUAUAAAUAUUUGAGUAAAACCCUGAAAACUCAUUAUGUCUGUUUUGAUCUUUUGAAAUAUUUCCAAAGGAAAUAUUCUCAAUAAAUUCCUAGAAAAUUCCAGUGGUCUCCCUAAGCCAUAUUUGGUGCCCAUAUAAAGAUUCACCUUGAUCCAAGGUGGUUAAGGUAACCAAAUAAUCCCAAAACCCGUUCUGUCCAGAAUGAAAUUAGAGCAACUCUACAUAGCAAAGUUUAUCCAAUGGAGCUGAAACUUUGCGUAAGUGCCUAAUACCUCAAAUGAGGCCUCCAUGCCAAAAAAGGGAUUUGUGGGACAUGAUUUGCCCACACUCCCUUUGGAAGGAACAGAUCUGGUCAUUUAGGGAUGUUUUCAAGUUUACAAAGCUAAACUUGUCCAAUGGAGCUCAAAAUUGGUGUAGCCUCAUAUUUUAGCACCAAACUGGAAGCGGCCAAAGGAGCACGGCCACGAAUGCGUGCCACUCCUCUCUCCCACUCUCUCGCAAUGAGUCCUGGAGGUCCAAAACCACGCCCGGAGACCGUGGUUUCGAUCCCAGCCUCUCUCUGCACCCCAUGCAUGCCACGGUGGAUCACUGGCGCUCCCGAGUCGGCUCACCAUCGCGGGCCUAUUUAUAGCCCUCCCCUCGCUCCAUAACCCCUCACUCUACCUCACCGAGAUCUCAAUCACCUCCCUAGCCACCCCAUUUCGCAAGCAGAGUCCCGGUACUCGAGAUCGACCGAGGCCCCUCCGCCUCAGAGCUCCGGUCGAUCUCCGGCUACACGUCGGUUCUCGCGUCCCUCUGCCCACCUACACACGCCCCGUGCCCCUAGGAAGCUUUCCCCUCUCUUCCCAGAGCGAAUCCCUGCCCGUAGCUACCACCUCCACCUUCACCCGAAACCUCUCCACCGCGGCAACCUCGUCGCCGGUGAACCAGAGCCCCUCCUUCGUCGACUAGACCACCAACAGGUAGGCGACGACGAGCCGGACCCAUUCCUACCGUUGUUAGGGCCUGAGGACGUCGGUAGCCACGCCGCCGUGCUCCUCCUCCUCUCUGUCCAGAGGUAGGAGACGACCCCGACAGGUGUGCCCCACCCGUCGGUGACCCAUCUCUCUCUCCCUUGUUCCACGCAGCCACUGACCGUAGCGGCCCGCGCGUCAGGUUCAAACCUGACGGCGCGCACGCCUGGGCAGGCUGGUUGGCUGGCCACUUGGCCGGCCCAGUCCGAGGACGAGCCAGGGCGGGGCCGUUGCCUUUUUCUUUUUAUAUAAAACCUGGUUUUUAAAUGAUUUUUAUAAAAAUAUUUAUCUAGUAUAAAUUUAUGAUUCUUCCACUAUUAUUUUUCUAAAAAUAUGUAGUAUUUAAUAGAACCCUUGGUUGAAGUUUUGUAACAACUAUUCUGUUUAACUGUAAUUAAAAGGGUUAAUUUGGAAUAGUUUUGCUUCUAUUUUAUUGAUUUAUAAAAUAUUAUUUCACUAAAACCAGAGACAAAUAUUUUUAAAAUAACAAUGUGGAUUUAUCAGAAUUAAACAACAUUUUUAAAGUGACUUUGUGAUCUGUUUUGGAGUGAGCUACUUAUUGCUUUUAUUUAAAACGGUGAUAGAAAACCCGUGUGACGAAGGAGUUGGACUUGAAGACCCCGAAGACCUCGGAUACCUAGAUGACCAAGGCAAGCAUCCCUUUGACCAUGUUUGAGCAUAUAAUAUAUUACAUGCUAGUUAAUAUUUCCGUUGCAUGUGAUCAUAAGUAUCGGUAAAUCAUUAAUGUGAUGUUACCGAUGGCUCCUCCGGAGCACAUGCAUUUUGGGCAUGAUCCUACCACCUAUGAGGAUCACGCUAAUACCAUGUUGACAAGUAGAGUUAAGCAUAAUAGUAGCAUUAGCAUGAUGAUGCUAUAAAAUCAAAGGUUUAUGAAAACCCCGUCGGGUGCCACUAAUGCCCGGGGUGAUGAUGAGUUAGGUGGCCACUUUUGGUGAAGUGGUGCACCGAGUAUUUUGAGUGUGUAUGGUUUCGGAAAUGGGAUUAGAUUUAUGAUGUGUUGACCGUCCCAACCUUAUAUGUACGACCACGUUACCCCUUUAUGGGACGGGGCUUUGUUGAUUACUCUGGUCGGUGCUAGCAAAGAACCACAUUACUAGUGGAGAGAGUGAUGUGUGGUCACUCUCGUGAUGGGGUUGUGCCAAGAAGGGCGACUAUGUCGUGUUUACGUGUUCCAGGCACACCGUUGGUCCCCGCAUGGUUGAUACUGUCCAGAGUCGGUGCUCUUAAGACGUACAACAUGUGGGCUGGGUACCAAUCAAGUGGACCUCUUUGUCUAGUAUCAUCAGGGGAAAGGCAUUGAUUCGGUACUUACGUCGAUAUGUUGUAUACCGCGAGUCGUGGUUGACAUGGAAGUUCCCCGGAUCUCAUGGGUCCAGCAUACUACCUCUGCAGAGUGUAAAACUAUUCGAAUAGCCGUGUCCACGGUCAAGGACAGUUGGGUAAUCCUCCUUAAACUACGUCCAGGCGUUUCCGUAUAAACCAAGUGUGUGUGACUGUGUGGUGUUAAUAUGAAACAGUUGAUAUGACCAAGUUUGAUGACUUGGCAUAUAAGGUGAACCCGGAGUGUUCAGCCCUUGACAGAUAUAUUGAUAUAUGUAACCUAUUUUUCUAAUCAACAUCUAGUUUAUGAUGCAUAUCCAUGAACAAGUUUAUUCAUAGACAAGUUGUUAUCCACCGAAGCUGCAUAUUACUUGUUAUACUACCAAUUGCAUUGUUCAUAUCAUGGGAUGUGUGCGAGUACAUUCAAAAGUACUCAUUGGCUUGCCAUUGGUUAUAUUAUUGACCAGACACGGAAGGACCGGAGUUUGGAGUGGAGUAAGUCUUCGGAGACGGUCCUGCGAACUAGGACGCUUCCCAGUCAGAAUGUGUGUUGGUGUAGGCUGAUGGCAUGGGCACCCGCCUAGCCCUAAGAUUUCCGCUACUAGUUGUAUCAGUGUGAUUGGCCUUAUAGGCCCUACCUUGUGAACUUGACCAUUCGGUCAUGUGAUGUAAUAACUCGAUACUUGGAUGUAAGACUCUUAAUAUUCAAUAUAUGUGUGUUCGGUGAGCAUUGAUAUCUGGGAUCACUGAGCAUCUUCAUUCGGCGAUCUCGACUCGUAAGUCGGGGUCCACACAGAGCUGGUAUCAGAGCCAUCCUAACUAUAGGAAGCCUUAGGUAGCAUGGACGAUAACCGAGACGAUUAGUACACCUAGACUUUACCCCCUGAGAUUUUCUGCACACACCAAAAUUUUCUAACCCUCUCUCCUACAUCUUUGUAGAUGGUCGUCGUACCUGAGAUGCUUCUAGAGACGGGCUUUCCCCUACUUUUGGGAGAUAGCCUCGAGAAGUGUCAAGUACGCUGCACGCCCAUCUUCCUCUACCACGAGCACUGGGUCAACGCCGAGACCAAGGAAUAUCACGUGGACGUGAUAGUGAAGGCUAAUGACUCCCCAACUAGCUGGUUCUUUGAAGGACCACAGAUGGAGGAUCUGAUGUUGGCAGUGGAGACAGCCGCAUGAGAGGCGCUUGUGCGUCUCCGUGACAUCCUUCCCGCGAUGGCUAACGAGCCAGCUACUCGUCACCUACCUUUUAUUAAGGAUGGGAUUGACGGGAGUUGGACACUCAACCCAUCUUCACAGGACGGGACGCCACUAAGGUUUCAGACCUACUUCAGUCUCUCCUCCGACACCUUGACUCACCUUUUCAUCAAGGAGUCGACGAAGAUCUGCCAAGAACUGCACCUAGUCAAGGACCUACUUCGCCUGGAGAAGAUGAGGACCCGCAAGGUCAAGAAGGAAGGAGCACCCGAAGGGCGAUCAACCAUUGCCUUCUGAGGAGGAGUACCACCGCUUCAGGCCACUCCUAUUCAGAGUCACCGCCUGCCCGCGAAAGAGUACAUUGAGCUCCUCACUUCUUAGCCAACUAAGAGACACCGUGAUGGACCAUUUCCUUCUCCUACUCCUCUCAAGGUGGAAAGCACUGAUGAAGAUGAAGACGAAGACCCUGCAGAAUCCGCCUACGAGACCGAGCAGUCUACCGCUUAGGAUUACGGCUUAGGAAAUUACGAGUCCCCCCAAGCGUAGUGAGUCCAUGUAUCGGUUCACGUAAACCAUGAGUGCUGUGUGAGCAUGUAUGAUGCAAGCCGCAUUUCUUCCUUAGGCAUCUUGUAAGCGAAUACAUCACUUGUUUUUAAAUCUAAUGCAUUAGCUUUUCCCGAAAAUCUUUGGUUUACAAAUCUCACACUAGCACGACACCAACCCACCCUUAAUAGAGCAUCAUCCCUUAUGAUUCCGGCCAAUUCGGCAUAUUGACUUGUCUACUCCCCUGACAGGAUGGUGAUUUCAACUUGCACCAGCACCUUCGGCAACCCCGGCUCUGCCUCUUCAGGCUAGCAGCAGGGAACCGGAGGGGACACGCAAGCUGGAGAUCACCACGAGCAGCAGCAAGGCGAUAUUCCACCGCCACUGCCUCCUCUAGAAAGCUUGACUAUGGCUCAGUUCCUUCAAGCUCUCUGAGAGGAACGUCAAGCCAGUAAUGCCGCUAUCCAGCAGCUGGCUCAAGUCCUGGUGAACAAUCUGCCGCAGAACGGAAAUGGCAACGGUCGCUCUACUCUAUCUGAGUUUAUGCAGACUACGCCUCCCAUAUUCACAGAGGCUACUGAACCAUUAGAUGCCGAUGACUUGAUCCAUACUAUCGAAGACCUCCUUGCGCUGGUCAAGUGCAAUGAUGACCACGAGGAAGUCCUUUAUGAUUCUCAUUGUCUCGGAGGCACGACCAGAGCUUGGUGGGAUGGGUUCUAGAUCAUGCAAGCAGGACAAGUCAUCACUUGGGCGAUGUUGAAGGGAGGAUUCCGCGCUGCUCACAUUCCUUCUAGAAUGAUGACCAUUAAGAAGCGGGAAUUCCGAGCCUUAAGGAAAGAUAGUGGAACCGUCAAGGAGUAUCUGCAGAAGUUCAACCUCCUGUCAAGAUAUGCACCAGAGGAUAUCAACACUGAGGCCGCAAAAGUGGAACACUUUAUGGAAGGACUGCAUCAGUCACUCCAGUAUCAACUGGUUGUUUGUGAAUGCCGAACCUUCUGCGAUCUGGUUAAUAAGGCCCUUAUGUUGGAAGAUAAGCGUCGUGCAAUGGACGACACCCGUAAGCGCAAGCUGAUGGGUAGUGGAGGACCUAGUAAUCCGAAGCCACGCCCAUGGCAGUCAGUCCCAGCAAUAUAAGGAUCCAACGUUUCGCGAGAACUACCAGCCUCAGCAGAAAGUCAACACCAAGCCAGCAUUCAACCCACCGAACAAGAGUGGAGUCAAGACCAAUCUUCUAGGACAGGUUACCUGUUUUGAAUGUGGACAGACUGGGUACUACUCCAGGCAGUGUCCCAACAAGAAGCCCGACGCACCGCGCCCCAAUGCGCCAAAUCAAGGUGAAGGAGCACCAGGCAAGAACCAAGCACCCCGCAAGCAACAGUAUCACAAUAGGGGACGUAUUAAUCAUAUCUCCGCAGAAGGGGCACGGGAAUACCCGAACUGCAUUUUGGGUACGUUCCUCGUCAAUUCCACCCCAACAACAAUAUUGUUUGAUUGUGGUGCUUCACACUCUUUUGUUACUCAGAAGUUUGCGAAACAAUGUGGUUUGAAGCCUACCCUGCUUAACGGACAAAUGGCAGUACAUACCCCGGGAGCAGUGUUAAGGACCAACCUAGGGAGUAGAGGAGUCGGGAUCGUUAUCAAUGGGAUAAGCUUCUUAGUAGAUCUCAUCGUCAUUAAGUCGCAAGGCUUAGAAGUAAUCCUUGGAAUGGAUUGGUUGGCCAAACACCAGAGCAUCUUGGAUUGUGCCAACAGGGCUAUUACCAUGACAAGCGGUCAAGGGGUCAAAGUAAAGUAUGUCUCCGAGCCUGUAUCCACUCGAGUAACGCAGGUUAAUAGCCUGUCGGGAGAAGAGUUGGAUUGAGUGCCGAUAGUCUGUGAGUACCCGGACGUCUUUCCUGAUGAGCUGCGAGGGAUGCCUCCUGACCGAGACAUCGAGUUCAUCAUUGAUCUCAUGCCCAGAUCGAAGCCUAUCUAUAAGAAGCCUUAUAGGAUGGGAUCCGAUGAGCUAGCAGAGGUGAAGAAGCAGUUGGAUGAACAACUCAGGAAGGGAUUCAUUCGUCUGAAUGCAUCACCUUGGGGAUCACUUGUUCUGUUCAUGUCUAACAAGGAUGGGAGUAUCAGACUCUGCGUCAAUUACCGUUCUCUCAAUGAAGUCACAAUCAAGAACAAGUACCCACUCCCCAAGAUUGAAGACUUGUUUGACCAGUGAAAUGGAGUCAAGGUAUUUUCCAAGAUCGAUCUCCGAUCUGGAUAUUACCAAGCUGAAGAUCCGACCUGAAGACAUACCCAAGACUGCAUCUUGUAAGUGAAUACAUCACUUGUUUUAAAAUCUAAUGCAUUAGCUUUUCCCAAAAAUCUUUGGUUUACAAAUCUCACACUAGCACGACACCAACCCCCCCUUAAUAGAGCAUCAUCCCUUAUGAUUCCGGCCAAUUCGGCAUAUUGACCUGUCUACUCCCCUGAUAGGAUGGUGAUUUUAACUUGCACCAACACCUUCGGCAACCCCGGCUCUGCCUCUUCAGGCCAGCAGCAGGGAACCAGAGGGGACGCGCAAGCUGGAGAUCACCACGAGCAGCAGCAAGGCGAUAUUCCACCGCCACUAUCUCCUCUAGAAAGCUUGACUAUGGCUCAGUUCCUUCAAGCUCUCCGAGAGGAACGUCAAGCUAGUAAUGCCGCUAUCCAGCAGUUGGCUCAAGUCCUGGUGAACAAUCUGCCGCGGAACGGAAAUGGCAACGGUCGCUCUAUUCUAUCCGAGUUUAUGCAGACUACGCCUCCAAUAUUCACUGAGGCUACUGAACCAUUAGAUGCCGAUGACUGGAUCCAUACUAUCGAAGACCUCCUUGCGCUGGUCAAGUGCACUGAUGAUCGUGAGGAAGUCCUUUAUGAUUCUCACUGUCUCGGAGGCACAACCAGAGCUUGGUGGGAUGGGUUCCAGAUCAUGCAAGCAGGACAAGUCAUCACUUGGGCGAUGUUCAAGGAACGAUUCCGCGGUGCGCACAUUCCUUCUGGAAUGAUGACCAUUAAGAAGAGGGAAUUCCGAGCCUUAAGGACAGAUAGUGGAACCGCCAAGGAGUAUAUGUAGAAGUUUAACCUCUUGUCAAGAUAUGCACCAGAGGACAUCAGCACUGAGGCCGCAAAAGUGGAACACUUUAUGGAAGGACUACAUCAGUCACUCCAGUAUCAACUGGUUGUUUGUGAAUGCCGGACCUUCUGCGAUCUGGUUAAUAAGGCCCUUAUGUUGGAAGAUAAGCGUCGUGCAAUGGACGACACCCGUAAGCGCAUGCUGAUGGGUAGUGGAGGACCUAGUAAUCCGAAGCCACGCCCAUGGAAGUCACCCCCAGCAAUAUAAGUAUCCAACAUUUCACCAGAACUACCAGCCUCAGUAGCAAGUCAACACCAAGCCAGCAUUCAACCCACCGAACAAGAGUGGAGUCAAGACCAAUCUUCUAGGACAUGUUACCUGUUUUGCAUGUGGACAGACUGGGUACUAUUCCAGGCAGUGUCCCAACAAGAAGCCCGACGCGCCGCACCCCAAUGCGCCAAAUCAAGGUGAAGGAGCACUAGGCAGGAAGCAAGCACCCCGCAAGCAGCAGUAUCACAUCAGGGGACGUAUUAAUCAUAUCUCCGCAGAAGGGGCACGGGAAGACCCGAAUUGCAUUCUGGGUACGUUCCUCGUCAAGUCCACCCCAGCAGCAAUAUUUUUUGAUUGUGGUGCUUCGCACUCUUUUGUUACUCAGAAGUUUGCAAAAAAAUGUGGUUUGAACCCUACCCUACUUAACGGGCAAAUGGCAGUACAUACCCCGGGUGCAGUGUUAAGUACCAACCUAGGGAGUAGAGGAGUCGGGAUCGUUAUCAAUGAGAUAAGCUUCUUAGCAGAUCUCAUCGUCAUUAAGUUGCAAGGCUUAGAAGUAAUCCUUCAAAUGGAUUGGUUGGCAAACACCAGAGCAUCUUGGACUGUGCCAACAGGGCUAUUACCAUGACAAGCGGUCAAGGGGUCAAAGUCAAGUAUGUCUCUGAGCCUGUGUCCACUCGAGUGCCGCAGGUUAAUAGCCUGUCGGGAGAAGAGUUGGAUUGAGUGCCGAUAGUCUGUGAGUACCCGAACGUCUUUCUUGAUGAGGUGCCAGGGAUGCCUUCCGACCAAGACAUCGAGUUCAUCAUUGAGCUCAUGCCCAGAUCGAGGCCUAUCUAUAAGAAGCCUUAUAGGAUGGGAUCUGAUGAGCUAGCAGAGCUAAAGAAGCAGCUCGAUGAACAACUCAGGAAGGGAUUCAUUCGUCCAAGUGCAUCACCUUGGGGAUCACUUGUUCUGUUCAUGUCUAACAAGGAUGGGACUAUCAGACUCCGCGUCAAAUACCGUUCUCUCAGUGAAGUAGAAAAGACCUCGAUGACGCCUAGAGGGGGGUGAAUAGGCUAUUUAAAAACUUCUUCGGAUUUGGCUUGAAACUAAUGCAGAAAUAAACUAAGAGGGUACUUGUCAAGCAAAAAUCCUGAAUGCACUAGGCACUGCAACGUGUAUCAACAACACGAUCUACCAAGAUGGACACAAUACAAUUACUAACAAGCACAAGUAAGUUACACAAACUUACUUGAGCUAUGUCACACGACAAGUAGGUAAACAACACAANUAAAUAUAACUUAAGGAAACCAUUAGUCCAUAGGAAUUGUCAUCAAUUACCAAAACCACAUAUGGAGAUAUAUGCUCUAACAAUGUCCCCCAUUUUGGUAAUUGAAGACAACCAGUGCAAGAAGAUGGAUGAGACAAUAAUCAUAUUGAUUGCACAAAACCAAUGGUUGAGCAACAUGUAAAAGAAGCAACUUAAGAAUAGGCUCAACCAAACUAAUGUGUGUGAGUCAUGGCAAAGCACUUGAGAAGACUAAGAUAAGGAUGAGCAUUACUCAUCAACAUAGUCUUGAUGAAAUGAGAUACAAAGUGCAAGACAUAUCAUUCCCACACACACAUACUAGAAAAUGGGUUCACAAGCUUACUAAUAAACAAAAUACGAACCAACGCUUGUGACAACCCAUUGUGAAGAUAGAAAGUAGGAACCUUGUCAAGAGGAGAGAUACUAAUUGAAAUGGCAAAACCCUCAUCAAGACAAGCAUGAGGAAAAAUAACCCUCACGGCCAAAGAGUGCAUCAAGAUGUAGGAAAAUAAGAUACGCACUCAAAAUAAAACUUUUCACGAAGCCACCAAAAGCUGAAAAAGGAAAUGCAAUGAUGAUCGUGAAAGAAAAGAGGAUAUUAAUUAGAGAUGUAACUUCUCUCAUGUGUAAAAGAUUCUAAGUAGAAGACAAUCAAGAUGAUAUAUAUCCAUAAAGAAGGAUGUACACACUAAAUGGUUACAAGAAGGAACAAACUAGAUAUCCAAAAGGAAGUCAUAAAUAUAUCAAUGAGAUCUUUUGCUUGGAAGCAUAGCACAUGGCCUAAUAUUUUCUUAUUGUACAAUAUGAACUUCCAACAUACGAACAUCAAAGACAUCCCAACUAGUAGUAAGACAUCAUCGUUCAGAUGCUUUGAGAAAGCAAACAAGUACUACGAGAACAAAUCAAGAGAUUCAUGCCAUGAUGCAACCUGGAAAAGAAAAGACAGGUUGGGUCCUUUGCAAGAAAAGGAUGCAUGAAGUGGAUACUUGUUACCGAGACAACAUUGGAUUGAUGUAGUAGAUAGUUGUUCUUUGAUCAUCCUAACUUGGCUCCAAUGAUCACAUGGUCUCAACACCUUCCUUAUAGAUGAGCCGAGCAUCCAAUGCAUCUCCAGUUAUUCCUAGAACAGCAAAACAAACAAAAUGGUGCCCAAACUCAUUGGGACCAAAGAGUUAGAAAACCAGCAAUACAUAGGACAAACUCCACAUACAUAUGUGCAUAUAGAUAUGAAUUUGAAUUUCAUGCACACUUUAGCCAAUUUAUGACAAGGUGGAGUUUUUCCUAUAUAUUGGGUCAAAGAAGGAAAGCAAGCAAAAGAAGUUGUAUAUAGUUUCUAUAUAGUAUCUAGAUACGCAUGCUCAAGACUCACAAAAAUCAACUCAACACAAAGUUGAUAAGUCACCAAAAGACAAGGUAUCAAGUGAUAAUAAGAUCCUAAAACAAAAGGAACUAUCACUUGAAGGAUAUCAAUUAAAAGAUACCUCAAGGAAUGAGAUAUCCAUUGACACAUGCCAAAUAGAAGGCAACAAGAAACCAACUGAAGGAAAACAAACACGAGGUAUCUAGUUUCCAAAAGAAAGCUAGGUUCCAACAACCCAAGCCCUCGACAAAUUUUCAUGAUGGCACAAAUCAUCAUAAAGAGCAAGACUUGCCUCUCAUCAACAUACACUUGAUGGGGAUCAAAAGAUUUUAUGAUGGGUGAAUAAAGAGAGCGUUCUAAAGAAAAUAGGAUAGCUCCUCCAAGGGACGUGCAUUAUAUAGAAUUUGCAUUUGAAUACAAAACGCACACGAUGGGAUCAUCACUUUCUCUAUAUCUAUAAAAACACUAGACAUGUUAAAACAGAUUCAUAAGAGGCAAGGAAGACAAACGAAACACAAAAUCCAAUGUAAAGAUGAUUAGCAAUUCCUAUCACAUGAUGGGAAUACCAAUUGUCAAGGACACGAAGUAUUUUCGAAGUGAUACUCAUUGGUAGAUCACAAAUAUAUCCAAGAUCAUCUUUACCCAUAAAACGCAAGCAAAUGACACUUGUAGAGCUAACAUGCCACCUAGGAACAAGAUAAUUUACAGUAUCAACACUAAGUGGCAACACGUCAAAUGUACACAUUUUCUAGGUUUCUAAUAUGCACAUAGCAUAUUACUCCCCCAUAAUGUGAUAAACCAACAACAUUAACAAGUGGAAAAUUAAAACCAACAAGAGAUACUUAAUGGACCAUAUAGAAUUUGAAUUUCUCAUGAGUAAGACAUACCACAUAGAAACUAGAUAAUCUUGAAGUGUCAAAACUAAGUGGCAUUCCCCAUGUAUACACAUUUAUAGGAUUGUGAGGUGUGAAAAGCACAUCACUCCCCCACAAUGGGAUAAUCCAUUAAUCUCUCACAAGAGCCAAAAAAAAUAUAAACAAGAUGCAAAAAGGCUCAAUACAAGACUCACAUGUACAUGAUAUGCAAACCAACAUACCCAUACUUGAUUACUCAAGAUAAGCAAGUUGGAAGCACAACAUAUACAAACGCAUGCAAGGUACAAAACCACAACAUGCAAAGGGGAGAGCACCUAACAAUGUAAACAGUUUAAGUAUAAGUUACCGUAAGGAGGCACAUUGGAUAUAAGAUAGAAACUCGAUAAUCCAAAUGACUUGGCUUGAGAUAAUAUGAAUGAUGAAGAACCCUUAAUUCUUCAUUAUGUAUCCAAGUCUCUAAUGUCCUCCAUAGUCACCUAUUGAUCAAGUUUGAGCUUGUUGGUCCCCAACUAUGUUGGGUCCUAAGAGGUUAAUCACAAUAGGCUUGGCAACCCAAAUGGUUCUUUUCUUGACACCAUUUUGAGUACCAACAAACUUGGCAAACACAUUGCCAACCUUAUCCUUCCCAAGGGAAUAGAUAUCAUCAAUAGUGAUUGGGUUGGAUAAGUUACCUCUCGUGCAAGACGAAGUGACGUGACCCUUCUCACGACAUAAGUAGCAACAUCUACCCUUUGUUUUCUUCCCAGUUGAUUUGGGAAGAGGCCUUUCUUCAACUUGUAGUUGAAUAUGUGAUUGAGUUUGUGGCCGCUUCCCUCGUUGCUUGUGACUUUGAGACUUCGUCUUCAGAGGGCAAGAUCUAACAUGGUGCCCUUUAACUUUGCACUUGAAGCAAAUGAUUUUGGUCGAAUUCUUGACUUGUUCUAGGCCCCUCUUGUUCUUGUUUGAGUUUACUCCAACAUCAUUUUUGUCAUUCGGUGAUGUUUGCUCACACAGGACGUUGUUGAGUGUGGACAUCCCUUCAUGCCACUGUUCCAAGUCUUUCUUCAAAGAAGUGACUUGGGCCUUGAGCUCUUCGAUUUCCUCUGCACGGUUAGUAUCAAUGCAAGUACUAGAGGAAGUGUAAGCUUUAAUGUUAGAGCAACAAGGCAAGAAAAGUAAUUCAUCACACGAGGUAGCAACAUUAUGAGUAGACGAAUUACGAGGACUAGCACAUGUAAAUAUAGUACUUUGACUAGAAGUAGUGCCAUUGUCCACAUGAGGCUCACUUGAUGUUACCUUGGUCAUGAUAGCCUCAUGAGCUAACUUUUGCACAUUAUGGGAUGUUAGAAGAUCGGCAUGAGAGCUUGUGAGCAUUACAUGGUUUUCUUCCAACUUCCCAUUAUUGCUAGUUAGUAAAUCAAGUUGAGCACGUAGCUCAACAUUCUCCUUCAAUGUUGAUACUUCAAAAGAGAUAGGGUUAGAUGUACAAGUAUCAUCAACAAUAUGAGAGGAGUAAGUAGAGAUUAGAGACUUCUCAUGAGUAGAUUGAAGUUCCUCAAAUAUCUUAGAGGUUUUGACGAGCUCUCCCUUGACAUUCUUGCAUUCAAGGAGAAGGACCUCAAAAUCCCUUUUAAGUUUAUCAUGAGCAGCUUCAAUCUCUCCUUUUGAAGAUCUUAAGUCUCUACAUGCUUGAUGACUCUUCUCAAGUUCAUGUUCAAGUUGUUAACUUUUAGCUUGUUCAUGAUUAAGUGAAUCAUUACAAUUUUCAAAGUAAGCAAGAACAUCUUGGAACCUUUGAAGAGCGUUAUUUUUAGCUUUAUGAAGAAUUUUACUGAUCACAUAGAUAUUUUCAGUCAAGUCAUCAUCAUCAUCCUCAUCGCAAAUAUCAUCGUUAUUGCACAGGGAAGAUGAUACCUCAUUAUUACCUCUUGCCAUGAGGCACAUGUGAACUGGAGGAGUUGAUGAUGAUUCUUUUGGUGAAUCAGAUUCUUCAUUAGUCAAAAGUGCUUCAUAUUUCUUGAUUUCCCCUAAAUGAUUAGUCAUAGAGCAACUAGGGAGAAACAAGAUAUUUUGAUCAAGAGGACACGAGGAAGCAGACAUAUCACCACAGACAUUUGUCGAGGGAUCUUUAGGUGAAAUACAUGACCUAUCAGCACAAUAAUUUACACUAUGUGUGGUGCUAGAUAUGCUCGUGUCCAUUGAGGCUAUGACAUUUUCAUCAACAUAUAUUUCUUCACUCACCAUGUCAUUACCUUGUGAGAUUGAAGAUGCUGAGGUGUGCAAGCAAUCGGAUAUGGAAGUAGUGGUGGACUCUUCAAGAUCGAAAAGAGUGAAGAGCUCAUGCACCAACUCCUUCAUCAUAAUACCGUCUUCAUCAAGAUUGGAACCACCAUAUAUAUCUUCAAGUUUAGUCCAAACUUCAUGAGAUGCCUUGCAAGUCGAGAUAGACUUAAACACUUCAGGACUUAUGGUUCGAUGAAUGGCAAGAAAAGCCUCACAAUCAAGAUACAUUUCAUUAGUAGAUGAAGAUGCAUCAUCCUUUUUGUCGGCAAUCCCUACAAGAACAAUUCGUAAAGUAUUUGGGCCCAUGGCCCGAAAGUGAUGAAGCAUAUGAAUUCUCCAUAUGGUAUAAUUUGUGCCAUCAAAGUCAAAGAUGCCAUUGUGCACUAAUCCAAUAGUCGACAUCGAUACUCUCUAGGUCGUGAAACAUAAUUAAAGAGAGACCUAGCUCUGAUACCAAUUGAAAAGACCUCGAUGACGCCUAGAGGGGGGGUGAAUAUGCUAUUUAAAAACUUCUUCGGAUUUGGCUUGAAACUAAUGCGGAAAUAAACUAAGAGGGUACUUGUCAAGCACAAAUCCUAAAUGCACUAGGCACUGCAACGUGUAUCAACAACACGAUCUACCAAGAUGGACACAAUACACUUACUAACAAGCACAAGUAAGUUACACAAACUUACUUGAGCUAUAUCACACGACAAAUAGGUAAACAACACAANUAAAUAUAACUUAAGGCAACCAUUAGUCCAUAUGAAUUGUCAUCAAUUACCAAAACCACAUAUGGAGAUAUAUGCUCUAACAGAAGUCACGAUCAAGAACAAGUACCCACUCCCCAAGAUUGAAGACUUGUUUGACCAGUUAAAUGGAGCCAAGGUAUUUUCCAAGAUCGAUCUCCGAUCUGGAUAUUACCAAGCUGAAGAUCUGACCUGAAGACAUACCCAAGACUGCAUUCGUGACUCGGUACGGUCUGUACGAGUGCACUGUCAUGUCUUUCGGGUUGACAAAUGCCCCACCUUACUUAAUGUACUUCAUGAACAAGGUCUUCAUGGAAUACCUGGAUAAGUUUAUUGUCGUAUUUAUCGAUGACAUAUUGAUCUUCUCCAAGUCCAAAGAAGAGCAUGAGCAACACUUGAGGUUAGUGUUGGAGAAGCUUCGAGAGCACCAACUUUAUGCCAAAUUCAGCAAAUGCCAAUUCUGGCUGAAGGAAGUUUGAUUCUUGGGUCAUACCAUGAUAGCAAGUGGAUUGGCAGUCGAUCCUUCCAAGAUUAUAUGGUAACCAACUGGGAGUUGCCAAUUGAUGUGAAGGAAGACAGGAGCUUCCUCGGACUCGCAGGAUAUUACCGCAAGUUCGUAGGAGGAUUCUCCCACAUCGCUCGACCCAUGACUCAGCUCUUGAAGAAAUACAAGAAGUUCGAAUAGACGCCGGAGUGUGAAGCAAGCUUCCAGGAGUUGAAGAAGAGAUUGACUACAACCCCGAUAUUGGCUACUCCUGAUAUCAGCAAGGAGUUUGUGAUAUAUUGUGAUGCCUCCUGAACCGGGCUCGGUGGAGUCCUAAUGCAAGACGGCAGGGUCGUGGCGUAUUUGUCAUGCCAACUGCGCCCGCAUGAGGAGAAUUAUGCCACCCAUGAUCUCGAGUUGGCAGCAGUAGUGCAUGCCGUGAACACAUGGCGACAUUACCUUCUGGGGAAGCGAUGUGAAAUAUACACCGACCACAAAAGUCUAAAGUAUAUGUUUACUCAGGGGGGAUUGAAUAUGAGGCAGGUAAGAUGGUUAGAGUUAAUCAAAGAUUAUGACCUCAUCAUUCAAUACCACCCUGGUAAGGCCAAUGUGGUGGCCGAUGCCUUAAGCCGGAAGGCCAACACCUUGAAUGUUAUGCUCAAGGAAAGGCUACCCGCCUUGUAUGAAGAAAUGGAAAGCUUCGGGUUGGAGCUAGUUGAACCAGGAUUCCUGGUUAACCUCGAAGUCAAACCAACGUUGGCACACGAUAUCGAGGAGGCGCAGAAGGGGAACAAAAGCAUUGAAGGCAUCAAGAAGAGGAUCCAGGAAGGCAAGGCCCCAGAAUUCUUGGUGGAUGAGCAAGGAGUAGUGUGGUUUGGGAAACAUUUAUGCGUACCCAACAAGGCAGAACUCAAGGACUUGAUCCUGCAGGAAGCACCUGACACACCCUACUAUAUUCACCCCAGUGGUACCAAGAUGUAUCAAGAUCUCCUAGAAAGAUUCUGGUGGCAUGGCAUGAAGAGGGAAAUAGCGUCUUAUGUUGCCAAGUGCGACGUGUGCCAGCGAGUCAAGGCUGAGCAUCAGCGACCUGCUGGACUGCUACAACCUCUCCAAGUUCCUGAAUGGAAGUGGGACACAGUCGGCAUGGACUUCGUCACCGGCUUACCCAGGCCCAGCAGAGGCGAUGACUCUAUUUGGGUCGUUGUCGACCAUCUGACCAAAGUGUCUCACUUCAUCCCGGUCAGUACCACCUAUGGGGGCGACAAGCUGGCUUGCCUGAACAUUGAGCAUAUUGUGAGCCUUCAUGGAGUCCCCAAGGAGAUUGUAUCUUACCAAGGCAUGCAAUUCACCUCAAGAUUCUGGAAGAAGUUUCAAGAAGCCUUCAAAACUAAGCUGUCUUUCAGCACCGCCUUCCACCCACAGACGAGCGGACAGACGGAGAGAGUGAACUAGAUACUCGAGGAUAUGCUCCGUGCUUGUGUCUUGGCUCAUGGUGCCAAAUGGAAAGACUGUCCGCCAUUCGCUGAGUUCUCAUACAACAACAUCUACUAGUACAGUCUCCAGAUGGCCCCAUUCGAAGUGUUGUACGGACGGAAGUGCUGCACCCUGCUCAACUGGUCAGAAACUGGUGAAGGGUUGAUUUUUGGGCCGUAAAUUCUGCAAGAGGCAGAAGAUAAGGUGCAGCUUGUCCGAGAAACCUUGAAGGCAACCAAGUAGCGACAGAAGAGCUAUGCAUAUUCUCACCACAGAGAGGUGGAGUUCGUUCCUGAAGACCAGGUGUACCUCCGUGUCACACCUCUCAAGGGAACCAAGCGUUUCUACGUCAAGGCAAAACUUGCUCCAAGGUUCAUUGGUCCUUUUAAGAUCACGACAAGGCGUGGAGAAGUUGCUUUCCAGUUGGAACUACCUUCGAAACUUUCGGGCAUGCACAACGUCUUCCACAUGUCACAACUUUGGAAGUGUCUCCAAGCGCCAAACCGUCCAUAUCUUUUUAAGGACAUUAACCAUCAGGCCAUCGACCUUCAGCCAUAUCUCACUUAUCGAGAGAGGCCGAUUCGCAUCUUGGAUGAAGCACAACGUUGCCCCAGGAGCCGCACCAUCAAGUAUUUCAAGGUUCAGUGGAGCAACCACACCCAAGCAGAAGCAACAUGGGAGCAUGAAGACUAUCUCCGAUCUGAGUUUCCGCACCUUUUUAGCACCUAGCUUAGGAAUCUCGGGGACGAGAUUCUUGUAAGGGAGAUAGGUCUGUCACACCCUGUUUUCACUAUCACUUCUUUUGUAAUUAAAAAAUCUGAGUUUUUUCUUUUUCAAAAUUAAUGUUGUGAGUGCCAUGGUUGUCAUUGUAUGCUUGUAUGCUUUGUUGUGUGAUAGCAAAAACCAUAUUUCUCAUAACUUAAUUAUUUUCAAACCCUUUUUCUUAAUUCUGGUUAAAUUCAAAACCCUGCUUUGGGUUGCACUACAAGUCUUUGAUGGCAAGAAGUGCUCUUACCCAAAGUUGGUGAUUUGGUUCUAACACCAUUUUAGUACACCAAAACCAUAAGAUAAUUAUUUUAUGAAUUAUUUUCCUAUUUCAUUUGCAUGUCCAUUUGUGAGGCCAGAAAUGAUAUUCCUAUAUGGAAAAAUACUUUUCUGCCUUAGAAAAAUCUGAGAAAAUUUGGAAAUACUGAGAAGGACAUAUAUUUUGCAUACAUAAGAUUUUCAGCCCCUAUUUAUAUUAUAAAUAUUUGAGUAAAACCCUGAAAACCCAUUAUGUCAGUUUUGAUCUUUUGAAAUAUUUCCAAAGGGAAUAUUCUCAAUAAAUUCCUAGAAAAUUCUAGUGGUCUCCCUAAGCCAUAUUUGGUGCCCAUAUAAAGUUUUACCUUGAUCCAAGGUGGUUAAGGUCACCAAAUAAUCCCAAAACCCCUUGUGUCUAGAAUGAAGUUAGAGAAACUCUACAUAGCAAAGUUUAUCCAAUGGAGCUGAAACUUUGCGUGAGUGCCUAAUACCUCAAAUGAGGCCUCCAUGCCAAAAAUGGGAUUUGUGGGACAUGAUUUGCCCACACUCCCUUUGGAAGGAACAUAUCUGGUCAUUUAGGGACGUUUUCAAGUUUACAAAGCUAAACUUGUCCAAUGGAGCUCAAAAUUGGUGUAGCCUCAUAUUUUAGCACCAAACCCAGUCCUGUUAAGUUGCAUAGCCAGUGGUGGGGUGCAACCAUCCCAAACCACUGUUGAGCACCUUCUGACAGAUGGGAAAACCCUAUCCUAACCCCAGCUAAACCCAAUCCCUUUCUCUCAAACUCCCAAAUUAGGUGGCUAGCACUAGUGCCUAACUCCAGUCAAGUGGAUCAUCACUGGUUCAAAGUAGAAAGGCCAAAAUCUCCAAUUUGAGCUUUAGCCCAAGGCUGAUAGCACAUGUUUCUCUUCCCUCCUUUGACCAGCCGAUGCUCCCACGGGAUUCAAACGACCAGGCAUCUCCAAGCCAGUGCCCAGUAAGCGUCAGACACGUCCAAGGCACCCCAGAGCAUGCCAACAUGCCGUGGCAUGCCAAAGUUGCACUCUGUGCGCACUACACAGAGCAACCGAGGUGGGGGCGACCUCCCACGGCCAGAUCAAGCCUCCCCGCGGUGCCUCUCCUCUCCCUUGACAACCCCUCUGCAUCAGGCAUCCCUCAGGGCCCCUCCUUUCCUGCGCUAAGAGACGGUUGGACGCGUGCCCGCACGCACCGAAAGCGGCGAGAGGAGCGCGGCCAUGAAUGAGCACCACUCCUCUCUCCCCCUCUCUCGCAGUGAGUCCCGGAGGUCCAAAACCACAUCCGGAGACGGUGGUUUUGACCCCAGCCUCUUACUACACCCAUUACAAGAAAUAAGGUCAAUUAUGACUCCCUAUAUUGGUCAUUGAUUCGUCAUUGUUAUCGUUUAUUGACUUUUUUUGACCAAAUUUACAAGGUCAACAGUUGACCGUCAAGAAUGAACAAACAUGACCUUUCUAAAAUUUUGGUCAUAUCUCUCUAUCGACCAAAAUUUUGGUUUGGUCAUUACCCAUUUGUGUGAGCCACGUAGGAUCUGACGUGGCAUUGCUAGUGACCAAAUGAAAUCAUCAUAAAUUUUAGAUCCGUGUCCAGAAAAUGUCUGUUUUGUUUGGGUUGAAGCAUUUUUUUGCUAAAAGCACACAUAUCUCACGAUAGGCCCAUUAAAAAUAAGUACAAUAGAAUAAAAGAUUGCAAAUAAAAUGUAUAUUUCAUUUCAGUAACAUAUCUCAUUAAAUACAAUACACCAUCGACCGACUCCACGCAUUAAGGUUCAACGCCUAACAAGGACACAUCAAAAUAAUUUUACAUGUGCACAAUAGAAUACUACUAUAAGUGCAAGUACACAGAAAAAGGACCCAACAAGUGCACAAUCGCACAUAAAGAGAGUUCCACAAAGAUUGGAUGAGAACCCCAAGUUUCUUCUCAUCCUCUUUCUCUGCACAAUAUGCUCUUGCCACUGCCGCAUGCAAGAAGAAAAUGAUGGUAAGGCUUUCAAGACCAAGGAAACUAGUAUAAUUAUACGCACGAUAACCAAUGAUAAAACAGUAGAAAAUUGUUUUCUCAUUCAUCUAGUUAUGACUUAUGAGGUCAUAAAAAGUAUUAUAUAUAUAUAAUUAUUUUACCAUACCCCUUUUUAUGUACUCCCUCCGGUCCUUUUUACUCCGCAUAUUAGACUUGGGUCAAGUCAAACUUUACAAAGUUUGACCAAAUAUAUAUUGAAAAAUAUCAACAUCUACAAUACCAAAUAUACAUAUCAUAUACAUAUCAUGAAACUACCUUUCGUAAUGAAUCUAACAAUAUUAAUUUGGCAUUGUGAAUGUUGAUACAUGUUUCUAUAAAUUUGGUCAAAGUAGAGAUACUUUGAAUUCGGACAAAGCUAAUAUGCAAACUAAAAAGGACCGGAGGGAGUAUAAAUAUGAAUUCGAAAAAUUCGCUAAAACCUAUGAACCUUGCAUAAACCACCAAACAAUGUAGUAUGUAUACUACCUAAGUAGCCUUAUAAGCUACAUAGUAUAGAUGCAUACUCUGCAGUAUGUUAGAUACUACCUAAACUGUAUGGAAAAUAUGUACGUUGGUGUAACUUCAGCCCGUAGUAGAAAAAAGGUUUGAACACAUGGAUGUAACUUCACCCGGUACUGGCUAGAUCCCAUAUAUACAUGGUAGGUUUAAAAUAGCUACACCCCCUAGUAAAACAGUCCAAACUAAUAGUAAAAUAAGCACAAAAUUGCACAGAUUUUGAAAUACAUUGUUUACUACCCAAGUCACUAUUUACUGCAUUGUUCUGGAAUUACUACAUUUGGUACAGGGACCAGCUACUACCAGGGACCAGCUACUACCAAGGCUUCCAGGGACCAGCUACUACCAAGGCUUCCAGACAAGGAAGAAAAUUGUGUCCAUGCUAGAGCAGAUGACCAGGGAAAAGCUAAGUGACGAGCAGAUCAUUGACUUGCUCAUCGCCCUCAUCUACUCUGGAUACGAAACCAUGUCGACGACUUCUAUGAUGGCCAUCAAGUACUUGUCAGACCACACGCAAGCUCUCGAAGAACUCAGGGUAUGUAGUACAGACAUAAUUUGCAAAUUGAUUUUGAUUCCAGAGAAAAAUCCGUGUGUUUCUGUCUGCGAAUCAAUUUUGAAUCCAGAGAAAAGUCCAUGUGUUUCUUCAAUUUAUUGAUGACAUUCUCACUUCUAAAUGCAGAGAGAGCAUCUUGAUAUCAGAAAGGGGAAAUCGCUGGAGGAAGCCAUCAGCUAUGAAGAUUUUAAGUCAAUGGCCUUCACUCGAGCUGUAAGUAGGAGCUAAAAGUAAAACGGAGUAGGAAUUCAGUAUAAACAAGAUCGUAAUGAACUGAUGGAUACUUUUGUGCAGGUCAUCUUUGAGAAACUAAGAUUAGCUACAGUCGUCAAUGGGCUCCUGAGGAAAACAACUCAGGGCGUAGAAAUGAAUGGUGAGAUAUGCUUGGAAAUUAAUCCUACCACCAAUUUAGCAUUUUCUAGGAAAAUGUUAAGUUAGUUCUAAAGCAGUCUUAUUGAUUUCUUCAAGGGUAUGUCAUUCCAAAAGCGUGGAGAAUCUAUGUUUACACGAGGGAGAUAAACUACGGUCCAUUCAUGUAUCCUGACCCAAUGACAUUCAAUCCGUGGAGGUGGCUGGUAAGUAAAAGAGCGAACAAAUAUGACCAUCAAAACAUCACACCAACUAGGGCCUAGCAGAAGAAGUUCUAACCUUUUCUUGCCUACUGAAAAUGUACAGAAGAAGAACAUGGAAUCACACCCGCACUUCAUGUUAUUCGGAGGAGGUGGCCGGAUGGACCGCCUGAAAAUUUUGGGAAAUUUGCGUGCCUGUUAUAGAGAAAGCUAACAAAUAUAUUUUCUAUAUAAGCACAGUAUGUCCUCUGCUCUAUUAAUUAAAAAGAUCCAUGCAUGUGUAGUAUUAUAUGAAAAUGAAUAAAGGGGGUCUUUCUAAUUCUGAAUCACAGUAAAUCAUAUGGUUCUAUCCCAACAACUGUCACCACAUUUUGUACAACGGGGUGAGAAAUAAUCUGAUGAGAUUAUCCAAAUAUGUUAAUGAGAUGAUCCUAAUUCAUCCAGAUUCUCCACGAACUUUGUGAGGAUAGGAGAAGGGACGUACCAGCACUGAUUGCAGGGAUAGAGUGAGGACAUCAUGAACAAAAUUGCACACCGACAUGCAUCAAAAAGAGAUAGACGACAUGAGCUAAAUGAAGUCAACCAUACAUUCUCCAAAUCAGGAAUACUAAAAUAAUCAAUGAUGAUUACUGACCAACGCAUGGCUAUUAUGCCACUGUUGCUGCACUCAAAUGAAUACCAGGUUAAACAAAUCAGUAUCGAUCUACAGUUUGAAGAAAAAUGCAUCAGAAGCAAUGGGCCACCUGGAAAACAUGCCAGAAUAUGCAUGCAUGUUACAGAGAAAACUGAAAACUAUUAUUUCUAUAUAAGUACAGUAUGUUCACUGCUCAAAAUAUAUAACAUACACAUUCAUAAAGCUUUCCAGCAAUUCAAAAUCAUAAAUAUUUCAUUCGUACAUGGAACAGAUUUAUGAACAAAAUAAUCCAUAGAUCAUAGUUCCCAAAUACUAACAGACUGACAUCGGUCCUCAACCAGAACCUAUUAACUAUCUCUGUUUCUAACUCAGAAAACUAUCUCUGUUUCUGCACCACCCCUGGUUGUGAUGCUCGCUAACGCAGGUCGUGGAGAAGUGCAGGCUUGCUCAUCCCUUCCCGUCUCUGCUCUCGCAUUCAACACACGCCAGCGAAUACACAGAGACCUGCUCCGGUUCCGCGGACCACGCCGCAUCUGGCACCAGACGGGCCCGAAAUUUCCACCGCCAUUUUCGCGGAACUGAGAUCAGAGACCACCGCAGGCGUACAGACGGAGCAUCUACCGGACCGACCUAGAGGGGGGUUAGGACGGAGGACUCACAUGGCGUCCUCCUCGGAGAUCCGGCGGUUGAGGGCCCGGGCGACGCGGCGCACCAGCGAGACGACAUCCUGCUCGCCGGCAGCGAGGCCCGGCAUUGCGAGGCGGCGCGGGGAGGGGGCCGGGCUUGGACUGCAUGGUGCGCGGGCUGAUCAGGUGGGUGGGGGAUCGCCGGAUUGGCAUGGGGAGGAGGAGCAGGGAGCCGCCAGAUCCGGCGACACUAAUUUCGGGGCCUGCAGCAGUCGAGGGGCGAGGGGAUCUGGUGAGGGGUGAGGGGAAGGAAGGCUGGCGGCGGGAGGGGAGACGAGGGGGACGGUGUGGAGAUAGGGUUAGGGUUAGAAUUACGGGGAAGGGUCUUUACUUUAUAUCUUAUUCACAU